GGUAAGGUAGGAGCCGUCCUGGCCGGUGAUGCCGGUGAUGAGCGCGACCUUGCGGGGCUCCGGCGGAUCCGGGGCGGAGCCGUUGGGGGUGGAUCCGGAUCUGGUGGUGUCGGUCUCGGACGCCAUUGUCGGGUCGGGUUGGUGAGGAGAAAUGAGAGAGGAGUGAGAGUAGAAGUGAGAUUGUGCAGAGGAGGGUGUAGUGGUUUUGAGAGAUUUUAAGAGGAAGGGAAGGAGGGAGGGAUCCAAGCCUGGUGGCUUGGUUGGACAGGAACGCGCUUCUAGCGGUUUUACUGUUGGGGUGGCUAGUAGAAGGGAGCCAGCUGAGUUGUCGGUGGGGGACCCACAGCACGAUAGUCAGAAGGGUGCCAAAUUUCUAACGUUUUUUAAAAUUUCUAAUCUUUGAUUUGAUUUUUAUACGAAAUAUUUAAUUUUGUUGAGUUAAUCUAGCAAAUCAGCAUAAUCAUAUUCUUAAACCAAAAUGCUACUUGUACCACAUGGUAAGGGUAGCAUUACUCUUUUUUUUAUAUUAAAAAAUAAUAUCAUCGCAUGGUUUUGUUUUUUUUUGUUUUUUUACAAACAGUAUGGUCAAGCAGCUAUACUAAUUUCCAAGUGGGCGCCUAAUCGUUGUGCUUCAGCUAUGUUUUUUUUAAAAAGUAAAUAGUAUCGCCGUGCGGCUAUACUUAAUUUUUGAUUUAUUUUUUAAAAAAUAGUAUAGCCGGGCGGCGUUAUUGGUUUUUUUUUUUAGUCUUUUUUUUUUGGGUCAAGUUUUUAAUUGUCUUUAAUAAAUAGUAUAGACGAGCAGCUAUAGUCUUUUAUAUAUGUAUAUGUACGUACGUAUUUUUCAAUAAUAUAUUGGUGUUCUAUACACGUCUUUUAUUUUUUAAAAAGCAAACGUACAAUAGUCGUAUUGUACAUGUACAUAUAAAUUUCUAAUGUUUUAUACAUGUACUUUUUACAAAAAUUUUAGUAAGACACACAAAAUUCACAUAUUAUACAAAUAAUUCUCACAUAUUAUUGAAUAAGAAUAAUAUAUGUUAUAAAAAUUAUAUAUUGUGGCCGAUUAAUAUUUACUUUGGAUAUAUUGAAACUAUUAAAUUAAUAUCUAUAAAGUACAAACUAAUGCAACUAGGUGGGUCAUUUUUUAUUUAUUUUUAAUUAAAUAGUAGAGCCCUGUGGCUAUACCGUUUAAAUGUAAUGUAUUUAAAUAGUAUAGUCGUUCAGUUAUACUACGAUUUUUGACACGUGACGCCUAAUCAUCAGAGGGUCCCUUAAAAAAAAAAAAUAGUACAGCUGUGCGGCUAGACUUCGUGUUUUUUUUUUUUUUAAAGACUUGUCUUGACACGUGGCGCUUAAUCGUUGGGGGACAUCUUUUUUUUUUAUAUUAAAAAAUAGUAUAGCCAGACGGCUAUAUGCAGUUUUUAAAAAACAAAUUUAAACAGUACAGCCGCACAGCUCUACUUAUGUUUUUUAUUUUUUUAUAAACAGUAUAGCUAAGCGGCUAUACUAUUUUACACGUGGGCCCUUACACUCUGUGUGUCAGCUCUAUUUUUUUAUAUUAGAAUUACUAUAGCCACACGGCUAUAUGCAAUUUUUUUUUCUUAUUUUUUUAAAAAAUAGUUUAGCCGGGCUGCUUUAUUGGUUAUAUAUAUACUAGCCUCUCUGCACGCGCUUCCGCGGAUGCGAGAGGUUUUUUUAAAAAAAAAUUUAAAUUUAUUUUAGAAUUAAAAAAGAUAAUGGAUAUUUGUGUUCCAUAAAAAUAUGAUCCAUUAUCUGAAUUUUCUUUUAAUUUUAAUUUUUUUAAUACGAAAAUUGUGAAUUUACCAUAUUAUCCUCAUUUAAUUAAUAAUUUCAAUUCUUAAUGUUUGCAUUAACCAAUGACAUUUUUUGGUAUUUUGAAUGUUUCACCAUUCUCUGCCUUUUGCUUUAUAUAUAUAGAUAAUUAUCUUUAAUAAAUAGUAUAGACGAGCGGCUAAGUCUUUUAUAUAUAUAUAUAUGUACGUACGUAUUUUUCAUAAUACAUUCGUGUUCUAUACACGUCUCAUGUUUUUUAAAUAGCAAGUGUACAAUAGUCAUAUUGUACAUGUCUGUACUUAUUUCUAAUAUUUUGUACAUGUAUUUUUUAUAAAAUUUUCAGUAAGACACAAAAUUCACAUAUUAUACAAAUAAUUUUCACAUAUUACUAAAUAAGAAUAAUAUACGUCAUAAAAAUUAUAUUAAAAUAUUAUGUAGUGCCCAAUUAAUAUCUACUUUGGAUAUGUUGAAACUAGCAAAUUAAUAUAUAUAAAGUACAAACUAAUGCAACUAGGAAGGUCCUUUUUUUUUUAAAAUUAAAUAAUAUCGUUGUGCGGCCAUUCCUUUUAAAUAUAAUAUAUUUAAGUAGUAUAGCCAGCCGACUAUACUUUUUUUGACACGUGGCGCCUGAUUGCUAGAGGAUCAUCUUUUUAGAAUAUAUAUAUAUAUAUAAUACAAUCGUACGGCCAUACUUCUUGUUUUUUUUUAUUUUAAAAAAAUAGACUUCUCUUGACACGUGGGGCCUAAUUGUUGGGGGGUCCUCAUAAUGUUACUCUUACCACAUUUGUAUAUCACAUUCUCAUACAACCUUAUGUGGCAGAUGAGGUGGACAACCACAUCAAUUAAAAUUAAUUUAGCAUUUUUUUCUUUUAUGAUUUAUUGACACUUUUUAAUUAAUGUGACUAUCCAUUUUAUCUAUCACAUAAAGUGAUAUGAGAAUGUGAUAUACAAAUGCGGUAAGAGUAACAUUACUUAAUUGGUUAGUGCAGCAGUCUCACGAGUUCAAAUAUCAUCAAUCAUGAGUUCAAAUAUCAUUAAUAAUGAGUGUUUAAUUAAAAAAAAAUUGUACUAAACCAUUAUUCUUUUGGUGUCAAAUUAUUACAAAUUCAAAUAUCAAAUAUAAAUGCCAAGAGUGGCUAAGGAUAUUUAUUUCUGCAUUUGAGGUCCUAGAUUUGAUGCCCCCUCUCCCAAUAUCACACUUGUAUAAAAAAUAAAUCAAAUAUAUACAAUUAAAUUUUAUUUGUUGAGUCUUAUUUUACCCUUUUUUACGAGCCUUUCUUAAAUAAAUUUCGAGAUUGUUGGAGUCCCUCGACUACAUGCUCCGUCAACCAAGUAUGGCGGUGUCUUCACCAUCUUCUUCAAAUACUGAUUGAUGAUUAAUUGUGGGUCAACUCAAUAGCCUCCAAUUUGGCUAUAAAAGAUACAAGAAAGGGAGAUGCUAUGGACAAUCGCCUUGGCCCUUGCAGUGGUCCAUCUCACGUGAGCGUAGGGUAAGCAUGCAAUCCAUUGCUCACUUAAAAAUCCAUUGGGGUAAUGGUCUCAGCUUACUUAUAUUGGGCCAGAUGUGGGGGAUGCGGCUCGAUGGGCAAAAUAUUAGCUCCAUAGACUCUCUAUUUUUUCUAAAUUAAGAUAAAAGAGUAUGGUUUUUUUUCACACAUUGUCAGAGUGUCAUAAAUAUUCGAAUAUGAAAUUACUAAUUUAUAAGUUAAAUUUUUUUUAUUAUUGAGAUAUAUCUUGUUGGUCAAUUUUUAUUUUCUUUUGACAACAUAAUAUAACAAACUCGAGUGAAGUGGAACCGAUGAGGUGAUUUUAAGGAAAAUUAAAAAAAAAAAGUUAAUAUAGAGUCUUUUUUUUUGUCAGGAUGGUAAAAUAAUGCUAUUGUAAUUAAUUCCUAUCCGUACAAGUCGGAAAGGCCAGGCCAGGCCAGAAAAGCACAAGCGCAUACCAUACGCCAGGCGUACCAUAGGCGUGCCGCGUGCGCUGUAAAACACCAAAUAAGCCGUCAUAAUUGAAAUCGGAAAAUUAGGAAAAUGGAAAACGAACAAAAAACUGUCUCUCGAACCUCCCAAUAAAUACAAAAACACCACCACACUUCUCAUAUUAAGCAAACGCAUCGGCUUCCUCUUCUCCUCUCGGUAUCAAAAUUAGGGCAUUGCUCUUUGUUUUGCAGCCUAGGGUUUCGAGAAGAUCUGCACAGCCAGAUCGAUUACGAUUUUACAAAUCUUACAUAGCUAUUUUUUAAUCUAGGAUUAGUAGGAAUUUUAUAUCGGUAAAUUGAAGCGGGAAGGGUUUUUGAGAUAUGAGAAUGAAUAUGAAGCGGUCGAGGAUUUCAAACUCAGUUUCUUGGGCUGCCGGAGCCAAUCUUUGUCAGGUAUAAUCGCAAAAUCUUAAAAUAUUGGCUUCUCAGUUCUGAUUCUGAACCACCAAUUUGUUUUAGGUUUUUUUUGUUUCUUCUUCGUAUUGGAUUGGAUUGGAUUGGAGGUGGUUCUGGAUUUGUUUUAACCUUAUAAGAUUUUAUUCGAUUCUUCUGUUUGGCAAGUCAGAAAAUACUCCAUUAGUUUUCCCUGUUAAAUUAAUCACAAAACCAUACCUGUCAACUUGAUUGAUUAAAGUUUGCUUCUGUUUAUUAUUUUUAAUUAUUAUUUAUUUAAUAAAUCAAAUCUGGAUUACAUUCGAUUGGCAAAUUAAAGGAAAGAGUGGAUGCUCAUUUAAAACCAUCAUAAAAAACUCAUUGAAAAUUCAUUCUGUUGUUAAGCUACUUAAUUAAUUGUGAGUCCAGAAAUCUGGGCAACAAAAUUAUACAACAAUGACAUUUAUUACCAAAAAAAAAUAUAGAGAGAAAAAGCCAUUGCAAUAUUGGCAGUGUGACAAGAGCUUGAAUAAACGAAAAGAUCUCGACACCAAAUAAUAAAAAAUUAAACGGAGAGAUUCGAUAUUCAUUCUCCUUCAAAACAGAUUGAUUGACAAGAAGAUGGGGUGGUCUUAAGGCUGGUCCUUGUGACUUAUUUCUUGCAUGCCACCCAGUGGUAAAUCUGUUGAACUUCUUUAAAACCUAUAAUCCAUGAAGUCCUUCAGCCACAUCAAUCGAUUAAUGAUCUUAUUGAAAGUGUAGUGAUCUUGCAGAAAACUCUUUUUUCUAUAUUAAGUGUUAACAGAGUUAUCACAAGAAUCAAAAGAAUUUAAUCUGAUUUGGUUGUUAUAAAAUAUUACUUGAUGAAGUCCUUCAGACCGAUAAAUUGAUUGAUGAUCUUAUCAAAACUGUUCUGCUGGUCUUUAUAAUUAGGAUCAACAGAAUAACUAGGAUCAACAAAGUUAUUACAAGAAUCAGCAGAACUAAAUCUACAAAAUCUGUUUUGUUGCUAUAAUGUCUAUAAUCUGUGAAGUCUUGUGGUGUUAUCUUCCACCCGUAUUACAACAUGUAACACCUGAAAUGUGGUUUGACCAUCUAACCCAUGUUAUAUAACACAUACAAAUUCAUUAAUUACUAUACCUUAAAGUAUAAACUCGUCGGCCACCACGUGCCAUAGUUUGGGUGCGCACUGGUAACAGCAUAUAUACACGUAGUGGCGAUGGGUUUAUACUUUAGGGUAUGAUAAAUACACACAUGUUAUAACUUGGGUAGUUCAGUAAAACCACGUUGAGGUGUUACCCUCACAUACUUAAAUUUAUCCAAAACAUGUAGAAACUGCUCCAUUUUAAGGAUAGGAUCAACAAAAUUUAAGAUCAGCAAGACUUACAUAAAGUAUUAUUGAAAGUUCAAAAUGGCUUAUACUUGGGUGAGGAUAGUUGUCCAAGAAGUGUCAAAGGUUCCUGAUUAAGAAAAUAUUGUCGUAAUUUGGUAUGCUGAAGGUUAUAAUUUAUAAUCAUAUACGUAAAUAGUAGAAAAGAUUCUCUAUCUUACUUAUGCCACUGUUUUUUCCUUAAGAGUAUGUAAUACAUAAUAUCUGAAUAAAGCAAGCACUAACUGAUUGGUCAGUUACCUGAGCUUGUAGAACCCAAAUUUUGAUUACGAUUGAAAAAUCUACUGUGUCUAAUCCCUCGAAGAUAAGAUGGAGUCUUGGAAUUUUCUUCUUAACUCAUAGUUGCAAAUACAUAUUUGCAAUGCACUGCCUAGUGUAGGAUAUAACGCUAAUAGUUGCAGAAAACUAGGGUGAUACCAUCCAGAUACUGGAGUUAGGGUGUGUUCAUGUGUCACAUAGCCUGAAGAUGUUACAUAUGUGGUGAAAUCCAUGCGUUUGAAGUCUUCAUAAAAUGUAAAGCAAAAUUGUUCACUCUAAUCAGAAAUUAAAUGCUAAAACUAGGCUUCUGCCUGAGAUUCAUAUAAUGGUAUAUAGCCUCUAGGGUAUAAAGGAAAAAGGUUUGGCCUUAGAUAUCUAAAUAUCCUUUAUGUGUAGAAUGCCAUGGAAAUCAUUAAUAUAAAUGUCCAUAUGAUAAAAUGCAGAGACAAUUAGUGUGUAGGUUUGAUGAGCCGUACUGCAUAUAAUGUGGUCAGUCUCUAAUGUAGAUGCUGCAUAUAAUCUGGUUUUUAAAAUAUGAUCAUUCUUUCUUCUUGUUAAAAUUAUCUUUCCAAUUUUUAGUGGUAAAUGUUGCUGAUUGUUAUCAUAUUCAUCUGUUCAUUGUGACUUACCAAGUUGUGAUUUUAAAUAGGUGAAGCUGUUCUCUUCUGAGGAUUGUCCUGUUAAAGUUGGCCUGAAAUGUCAAGAUCAUCUUCAAGCAAAGGCAUCAAGUAUGUUGAAUUCAAUUCCUGCGGAAAAUGAUUUCCCCCCUGGAUUUGAAGGCAGUUUUUCUGUGGGCAAGUCAAAAGUGGAACUUCCCCACAUCCCGAGUAUUCAAUGGAAACGCCCUUCCAAGGUGUGUAGAUGUUAGAUCUUUACUAAAUUAUGAUUAAUUAUGCAUGUGAUUAGAAUAUCUGGUCUGUAAUCUGAAUUCAGGUGUUGAUAUGUUUAUUUUACUUGAACAGUUUGUCAUAAGUCCCACCUGGGAAGUAGCAGCUGGCGAGGAAAGUGAGGAUGCCAAGGCUCAAAAAUCGAGAGAGAUGAGAGUGCUUGAAGCAGUUUAUCCUCGUUUUUCUGCAAUUCCCCCUAAGUAAGCUUUCGACCUGUAUCCGGAAUUACAUUUCGUAGUCUUUUUGUUCUUUUACAUGAUUAAGCCUGAUCAUCUUUUUUUUUUUUUUGGCACAGCCCCUCAGUUUCUUUGGAUGUAGAGGGCGAGCAUUAUGAUGAUAGCCUCACUCCUUUUGUUCCUGAUACUCCAAUUGAAGAAGAGUCCCCAGAUUUACUUGAUCUGGAAACUCCAGUGAAUACCAAUGUAGGUUGUCAACCACCAGUCUUGCACCAAGGUCUGUCGGCAUCUGGGAAAUCAAAUGCUUCUAAAUGUAACUCUCCUGGUUUGCAGCAACUCGCCAGUGAUCAACCUGUACUAGGAAACUUAUUUGAUCUUAACGCGGACGUGACUGCUGCUGCUUCAGCUGCAUUGACUGCAAUCAUGAAAAGCACUGAGAAGGGAAGUUUGGUCGAUACUGGUUUGCUCAUUAAAAUUCUUAGUGACCCAAAAAUGAUCCAGAAAUUGAGUAAUGAAUCCGGACCACAGGCCAAUGCAGGACUUGCACCCAGGCCAAAGACAUUAGUUCCAUCAAUUCCCUCAUCUCAUCCAAAAUCUGAUAUGCAAGGGACUGCUGCAGGUGGAAACUACUGCCCUAUGCCAGGUACAUUGGGAAUUGCUUUGAAUACAAUCCCUCUUCAGCCAAAUAAUGUUCAACUAUCCGGGUUGAAUCGACAAACACCACCGUCUCCUUUGCCCAGCUCCAAAUCCAACUUCUUUAUGUUGCCUAGCCUGCCAAAUCAAAACCAAGCACAACCCCCGCAACCCCCUUUAAGAGCAAUGACUCAACCGAACAGACCUCCAUUACCGCCAUUCUCUUCAAGUGCAAUGAAUGAUCCAAAUAGAGCUCCCUUACCACCAUUCCCAGCCAACGAAGCCGGACAUGUGAAGGAUGUGAACUACUUUAAGAACCUCAUUAUGCAACAUGGAGUUGAAAUCCAGGACCCAUUUAUUGCACAAAAUGGUAACAAUCAUAAUCACUUGACAGACUUGAAAAUGGUUCAAAACUUUAAACCAGGAGAAACGAAACCUUGCAAGAAUCGCAAACCUUGCUUGUACUUUAAAAGCUCUAGGGGAUGCCGUAAUGGAGUUAAUUGCACUUUCCAGCAUGAUAUGUCAUGCCAGUGGCCGACUGGCAGCAUCAUGGAGGCCCAUAGUACCAAGAGAAUGAAACUAACUGGGUUUAAUACUGGAAGGAUGUGAAUAAUGGAGCUAAAAUCCUGCAAAUUUGGCCUCUCUUUACUUUUCAUUUUCUACACAAGUUUUGUGCACAGCUUGGGGUAAAUUUGAGACCUCGAGACAGGGUAGGUAGGUAGUUUUUCCAAUGACUCAGGCAAUUUUUUAAGACUAAUGAAAGUUACUUUUAAGAUAAAGUGUUUUUGUUCUGCUUAUGUUUGUUUCUGUGCUCCUAAAUUCUCUUCGCACUUUAUCUGCACAAUUGACGAACCAUUCAUAAAGGAAUGGCCCAUAAAUGGUAGAUCGUGUAAUGAAUUCUUUAACUCUAGGCCCAAAGUAGAACUUUUCAGAUGAUUGGUAAAACAAAGAUCAAAAGAAGAAUUGUAAGUGGUAAUAUGUUGACAAGCUUUAGUGAUCAAUGAAUAAUUAUUCAUGCAUUCUCAUAUUUUAUUUUAUUUUGAAUGUUCAAAUCGUUAUUUUAAAGUAAUGUUACUAUCAUCCCCUUAAUUAUUCAUCCUAUCCACCUUUUGCAAAAGAAAACUUAUUGGAAUGGCACCCAAGAAAGAAAGUGCUUGACACUAAUUAAGUUUUCAUGGAACUUUAAAACACAACAUUAAAGAAAAUGAAAAUUUGUAAGGGACUUGUAGUUCAAGUGGUUAAAAAUAAUUACCUCUGCACCCGAGGUUGUAGGUUUGAUUCUCCCCUCCUCCAAUAUCGCUUUGUAUCAAAUUAAAGAAAAAUGAAAAUGAAAUUUUUAAUAACAAGACUAGCUAGGGUUUGUGUCCCGAAGGAACAUGUGUGGGCUAGGAGACAUUCUUGAUAUUUCCUUCAUCUCAUUUGGCCACUUGUGAAGAUACAAAAUUGGUUUGCGGGAGUUGUGUGGCACUCAAAAUUAAACCCCAAAUUCCAAUAAAUAGAAGAAAAAACAUGUGAACUAAAGAGCAUAUGCAGGUUUAGAUCUCUACUCUUGGUGCUUAUGAACCCAACAUAUCUACCCUACAAGCUAAUCUCAGCCGACCCCCUUCUCAACACAAUCUGUUCUUGCAUCCAAACUAAGCAAAUUUAUGUGGGAGAUCCCCAUGUCAGAUUCAGAGCAUUUUGAUUAUGCACAAGGUCGACGAAAGAGACUUGUACCAGAAAAGCUUCACAAGCUGACUAAUAUCUUCCAUGCAAAUUCAGCUUUCUUCACCCAUGUGUGUUGGGAUUUUAGUUCUUCAUAUUCUUCAAGCCUUAAAUGUUUUGUUGGUAAAGAUCUAAAAUGUUGGCUUCUUUCUUACCAUUUAUCAAUUCUCUUGUGUUGGUGGGGGUGGGGUGGGGGCACAAAAUAAUCCAGUGAUGGGAAGGUUAAAUGCAAGAAUACCUCCUCACCCAAUUAAUCCACUCAUGAUCUGUGCUACAAUUAAAUAUACAAAAAAAUUAUCGCAAACCCCAUUCGGACAAAUGACAAACUCUAUGUGUUAAAUUCAGUACCGUUAAUUUUCCCCUUUUUAUUAUCUUUAUAGGAACCCUAAUUUGGUGUGGAUGAUGCUCUGAUUAAGAUUUUUUUGUGAUUUAUUACGGCAGCGCGGAAACACACCGAAGGCUGUGCUGGGCUGUAGGGAAGUUUUGAAGAAAAAAACAACAAUAAAAUUAUCUACUACAAGAAGUAUGCUGCCCUUUGGUUUCUUCAUCUCAAAAUAUGCAUUAUCUACUGUCUUGUUGUUGUUGAAAUUAUAUGGCAAAAGGUUUUAAUAAGGAAAAAAAAAAAAUGCGCCUGUAUGGCUCACCAUCAACUAUAAAACUAUAUGUUUUCUCUUUUAAGAACGGAAAAAUAUGUUAACCAAAUUCUAUUAUUUUUGUAUUUACAACUAAUAUAUAAAUGAAACUUAAUUAUUUAUAUUUUUGCACUUUGCAUUUAUGAAGCUUAUUUAGUUGAUGCCAAGAAAUUUUUAGGGAUUCACACUACAAAUGUAAGAUUUUUUUUUAAUAAAAAAAUCAUUAGAUUUUAAGUUAAAAAUUCUUGGUUCCGUCCUUAUACGGCAGGGUGCAAAAAAAAUGUUUUUGUGCAUCAAAGUACAUAUGAUUGACAUGGAUGGAAAACUCGAUGCGAUUAGUUAAGGAGUAAAUCUUUUAGGGAUGUUUUAAUUUGAAGAAAAAGAUGAUGUGAAAGAUUAUGGCCUCUUUCGUUGAUCACAACAUUCUCAUGUGAGCUUUGUCCCCUUCGUCACAAGGUUAGGUAUUUCCCAAUCCUUUUCUCCAAAAUAAUGCUUAUACGAAUGGAAAUGCAAUUAGUUGGAAUCUUGGAGAUUAAAGGAAUGAAAAGGAAUUUGUACCCUCCAAAUUGUGCAUGGACUGUGCAUGGCCGUAUUAAUCAAUAAUCCAUCAUCAUCAUCAUUUGAUUAAUUAAAAUCGCAUGAUUUGAUCGUAACCGGGUAAGUGUGAUUAGGGCGGGAUCUAGUGACUAAAGCGUGAUUAAGAGUCUCAUAAUGACCAAGACCAGCCAAAGUGGACAACGAGACCCACUUGCAUGUGCCUCUCAAACGUACAAAAAUGGAGUCCAAUUAAGCAUAUGGCGUCACUAAUAAUAAAGAUCAGAGGCUAAAAGCUGGUGGAAUACAUCUCUAAUAUCGUGGACCCAAAUGCAUGAUGGCAGGAAACCAUUAAAAACAGGUUAGGUAUUUGGUUUGAAUAACUACUUCUUCUUGCAAUCUUUAUGUGGCUUUGGACUCUACGUAUAAUUAAUUGGUUUCUUAAUCAAUAUCUUUUUCCAUGGCUUUUGAAGAAGACUUUGUGGAGCAUGACACUGGUCUGUGGUUGGCACUUGGGGAUUAGGGUCUAUAAUCUAUAAUAAGAAAAGAUAGAGGAGAAUGGAUUUGUUUAAAUAAGUAGAUCACUUCCACAAAUUAUAUGAAAUAGGUACUUGAAGAUUGUACGAUAUUGUCAAGAAAAAACCAAAUAAUAUUAUAUAGAUUAUGUCGUGUGGUGGGUGUCUUCAACUAGGACUAGCACAUAAGUACAAAGCUUUGUUUAAAAACGUUGCCGAGGCAUGCACUACAACAAGGAUUUUUGUUUAGUGCCAACCUUGUGGUUAUUAGUAUAAACUAAUUACAAUUAGUAAAAAAAUGUAAUUAACGAACACAUAUGCAAUACAUUUGGAAAUUAGAUGAAAAUGAAUUACUCGAAAUUAACAUAUAGAAAAUAUAAUUAACCAAAUACUGUGUUAACCAGCCCAACAUUCGUUUGAGAGUGAUUUUGGAUAGGCCAAUAAUCACUUAUCCACAUAAUAACUUUUAAGUGGUUUUAAGUGAUUUUAUGGAGAAGCACAUAGGAGGUGCUUCUACCCAGAAUCAUUUAAAAUUACUUAAAGUGAUUAUAUGAAAAAACACGUGGGAGGUUUUAUAAAUUAAAAACAAAACACAUAAGUAAUUCUGGUCUAUCCAAAAUCACUCCCAAAUAAGCUUCUCAAUAAUGAUAAUUCGAACUACUUAUCAUGUAUGAAAAUGAUACAAAUAGUCCUAGAAAGUAGGAUAACUUGCAAUUAUAUGGCUGUCAUAUGUGACCUCCUACAAUCCAGAGUUACCAUCAUGGAAGAAUUACAUCUCUAGAAAGUUCCAUAGCUGUAUAUAUAAACUUAUUAUUAUAUAUAUGUUCAUAAGCAUAACUUUUACACAGCCUUAAUUAGUAGAAACCCUGACUCCAACUCCAACAAUCUCCAGGACUGUGAAAGAGUUGGGAUUUUGCAUUCCAUUACGAUUAAGUUUUUGCCUUAUUAUGAUAAUUAUAUAUCAGUUUAUUUAUUGAACUAUUUGGGUUGAAAUUUGCUGAGAAAAGUUAUCUUCCCCGUUUACUGGAAAUACAUGUAAAAACAAUAUUAUUUUCCCCCCCUUCUAUUUGCUAACAAAAGAAAAGAGAGAAAAGAGAAAGAAGAACAAUGAUUUUCUCCUCCGGAUUUAAAGUUACGUACCAUAUAGAUAUGUUACAAAACCCUUCUCCUUAUUCAGGUUAUAUUUUAAUUAAACCAAGACAACUAAAACUAUUUCUCAAAUUGGAGUUGAAAGUUUGAAAUGAAUUAAUUAAGAAUAGGGAAUAGAAGAUUGAAUAGUAAUCUUGACCAAUAUAGUCAAUCUUUUCCUUUUAUAUAUAUCAUGCUAACCACUGUAUAAACUGAGCCAUAAAACUGUUAAAGGAAAGAAAUUGGUCAACUAUUGUGAUUACCUCAAUCUUAGUAAUUAGCUAAGUUUACGAUCAUUACAGCUACUGUGAUUUACAUACUUAGAAUAGAUUCCAUGCUUAGAAUAGAACUUCCAUUCUGUAUAAAUCUUGUACAUCAUGAUCUCAAGGAAUCAAUACAAUAUAUACAGCCUUCUACAUUCUUUCAUGGUAUCAGAGCACCAACAUAGGUGACUCUGUCCAGCACGUCUUCCGCUACCAAAACCAAACACACAAACAACCAACCUACACAACCCAUCAACAUGGGUGAUGAAAAAUCAUCCGGAUCUGAAAUCAACAUGUCUGAUCCACUUAUCCUACACCAUUCCGACUCACCCGGUCUGGUUCUAGUUUCGAAACCUCUCGAAGGCCAUGACUAUGGUCAAUGGAGUCGCUCGAUGCGAAUUGCCUUGAGCGCUAAAAACAAACUAGGAUUCAUUGACGGGACUAUCAAAGCCCCAGCAAAAACUGAUGCCAAAUUCUCCAUUUGGCAGAGAUGCAACGAUAUGGUGUUAUCCUGGAUUUUGCACUCACUACAACCCGACAUCGCAAGCAGUGUACUUUACUGCACCAGCGCAUCCAUGGUGUGGAAUGAUCUUAAAGAUCGGUUCUCACAAGGCAACGACUCCCGGAUUUACCAAAUCCGUCAAGAAAUUGCCGAACAUCGACAAGGCCAUCUUUCGAUUUCAGAGUAUUACACCAAACUCAAGGCCUUAUGGGAUGAAUUGGAUUCAUAUCAUGAACCCAUCAUCUGCACUUGCGAAGGUUCCACAACACGUGCUUCCAGAGAAGAGAAGGAGAGAGUCAUGCAAUUUUUAAUGGGUCUGAACGAACCUUAUUCAACUGUGCGUGGGUCAAUUCUGAUGAUGUCACCGAUCCCAGACACACGUCGUGUCCAUGGCCUGAUCCUCCAACACGAAAGGCAGCUGGACGUGGCAAAUCGACAGACCGGAUCCCAUGCCAUGCAAAUCAUACGUUCUGCAAACACCAAGGGCGGCACCAACCCAGGCAACUCGGCAGCAGCGGCGAAACCUUCUGGUGCUGGGGACGGAAAAUACAGCUCCAACUUCAGGAAGUCUCUAAAAUGUUCUUAUUGUGAUGGAGACACCCACACCAUUGACACUUGCUUUUUCCUUAAUGGAUUUCCUGUAGGCCACAAACUCCAUGGGAAGAAUGUCAAGCCCAAAAACAAACGGGCUGCUUACACUACUGAAAAGGAUCCAACCCCAGGGCCCCACGUCAAAUCUAAUGACAGCCCCACUUUCACUACUGAAGAAUACAAUCAACUGAUCGCUCUUUUACACGAUCGACCUGGUAAUUCUCAUCUUGCAAAUGCAACAGGUAUUGUUACAUCAACCUGCAACCUUUCACAGCAUGUCCCACUUUCAAAUUUCUAUUGGAUCAUGGACAGUGGAGCAUCAGAUCAUAUUUCGUGUUUUGCACCUUCACACAACACAGUCAAUACUCAACAUGAUUUUGUUGGUUUACCUAAUGGCGGGAAAGCAGCCAUUAAAAACAUUGGAUCCAUUAAAGUGUCUGACACCUUAACUCUAGAUGGUGUUCUUCAUGUACCACAAUUCAAUGUGAACUUAUUGUCUGUGAGCAAAUUGACACGAGGAUUGCAGUGUAUGGUGACUUUUUUUGAUAAAUUUUGUGUUGUGCAGGACGUGAAUACGGGGAGGACGAUUGGCCUGGGCAAGCAAUUUAAUGGGCUCUACUACCUCAAAGCCACCCAAAACCCACAUCUAGCUCAUCAUGUUCACCACACCUCCCAUCUUUCGUAAGUUUUCCUCUGCUAUACAAAAUAUUGGUUUUUCUCAAUCCAGAGCAGAUUAUUCUAUGUCUACACACAAACAUGGUAAAUCCUUCACUGUUAUAUUGUUGUACGUUGAUGAUAUGAUAAUUACUGGAAAUGAUGAUGAUGCCAUACGAGAUCUUAAACACUUCCUUGGCACUUGUUUCAAAAUCAAAGAUCUUGGACCUUUAAAGUAUUUUCUUGGAGUUGAAAUUGCACGGUCCAAAUCUGGGAUUUCUUUUUGUCAACGGAAGUAUACACUGGAUAUUUUGGAAGAUGCAGGUUUACUUGGUGCAAAGCCUACAAAAAUUCCUAUGGAAGCCAAUGUUGCACUCAUGCCUACAGGGAGUGACCCUCUCAAGGAUCCUACUUGCUAUCGCAGACUUUUUGGCAGGUUAAUCUAUCUCACAAUAACAAGACCCGAAAUCACAUAUGCGGUGAAUACUCUAAGUCAGUUUAUGCAUGAACCCCGAAUGCAUCAUUUUGAGACAGCACGUCGGCUCCUCCACUACCUCAAAGGAGCUCCUGGCCAAGGGUUAUUAUUCCCUUCACACGGGCCCCUCCACUUGACAGCUUACUGUGACGCGGAUUGGGCACGAUGUCCUUUUACACGGCGCUCAGUUACUGGAUACUGUAUAUUCCUUGGCAAGUCACUCAUAUCAUGGAAAAGCAAGAAGUAAGUCACUGUCUCAAGGUCAUCUGCAGAAGCUGAGUACCGCUCUAUGGCAGCCACCACUUGUGAACUCACUUGGUUGCGAUAUCUCUUACGGGACUUACAAGUGGAACACAAUCAGCCAGCCACCUUACUCUGUGACAACAAAGCAGCCCUCUACAUUGCAGCCAACCCAGUGUAUCAUGAACGGACCAAGCACAUUGAAUUGGAUUGCCAUACCGUUCGUGAGAGAAUUCAAAAUGGGGAGAUCAAGACAGUUCAUGUGCAAACCAAACAUCAAGUUGCAGAUAUUUUCACUAAGCCGCUACCUGCCCCCUUGUUCCAAUCCCAUCUUGGCAAGUUGGGUGUAAUUGAUAUUCACACUCCAACUUGAGGGGGAGUGUUAAAGGAAAGAAAUUGGUCAACUAUUGUGAUUACCUCAAUCUUAGUAAUUAGCUAAGUUUACGAUCAUUACAGCUACUGUGAUUUACAUACUUAGAAUAGAUUCCAUGCUUACUUAGAAUAGAACUUCCAUUCUGUAUAAAUCUUGUACAUCAUGAUCUCAAGGAAUCAAUACAAUAUAUACAGCCUUCUACAUUCUUUCAAAAACCAGUCAACUUUCAUCAUGGAUUUGCAUGUCCUCCAUCUUUUCAUCUUCAUCUUAAGGUGUGUAAAUAAAUUAAUAAAUAAAAAUGAGAGAGAGAGAGAGAGAGAGAGAGAAAGAGAUUGGAAAAGGGAGAGCCUGGGAGGAGCUCCCUUGAAUUCUUUGAUUUGAGUGUAACCACCACUGAAGAAAAACUGCUUACAUGAUCAUAUGUAUCAAUAAUAUACAAUUAUCUCGAAAAAAAAGAGUUAAUAAAUCACGGUCAGAGCCGCCAAUUAUAAUACAAAUUAAUCAAGGACGUCUAAGAAUGAAUGAAGCAGGUAGCCAGCCAAGCAAAUUAGCUUCAUCUCUCUUGCAAAUAUUUGUUGCAGACACCAAAAACAACAAGCCCUCCUUUCUUCAUGAUCAAUCAAUGAAAUCAAUAUAUUUGAUGCAUCAGAGAGCGAAAAACGACUUCUUCGCAAGGAAUAGUCAAGCCCAUGUCAUGGUUAAACCCAAACUCCUCCUCUGCCCUUUGGAGCAGAGUUUGAAACUCUGGAUGGCCCAGCCAUGAAAUUGGGAUAAUGUAUCUGCUUCUGUUUUCACCAACAUACACAGCAAAAUGCCCCUUUGGCACAUCUUCAGGAAGACCACCUUCAUUGUUGUAACCAUUUUUCUUCCCAAAACUUGAGCAUCUUUUCAGAAUCUGCUUGAGAGCUGCUGUUUGAGGAAGCUUGUUCGACUUCUUGCUGAUUGCCAUGUUCUCUGUGUUUUGGGUGAAGUGCUUUGUAAACUUGUGUUUGCUUGCUUGCUAGCUUUGAAUAUAGUUUUACUUGGUUGAGAGAGAGAGAGAGAGAGAGAUGAGAGAAGCGUGUGAUGUUCUGGUGUGGAGAUUGGAGGGUUGGAGAGGUAUUUAUAUGGGGAUAGUGGGAACGAGGGAAUUGGUUUGAGAGAAAACAAAGCCAUGUGAGCUGUGGGGGCUAAGAACAACCCACAAGUCAUUUGGGGAAAAUAGUGUUCAAGGGCAUGCAGUUAGCUAGCAAACCCCAUUGGGGCUUGGCCUACCCUUGCUUCCCUCUAAUUGUACACCGUGGGCCCCCGCUCUCUCUCUCUCUCUCUCUUUGUACUACUUUCUAUCUUACUCGUACGUGUAUUUUGUUAUACAUACUGUCUUAUCUAAUCAUCUUGAAUGUCGUAUAUCUCUAAUAAAGACACGACUCACAUUUGUAAAGAAAUUAAAACUUACGUGUAAUAGGGUUUUCACGUAUCAUUAUAAAUGAGGAGAGAGACAGAGAGAAAGAGGAACGUUGCGUAUGUACUCCGUUGCAAGUAUAUGAGGUUCAGAAAAUUCGAGAAUGAAUUAAUUUGUUCCAAUUUUGCUGUCAAGCACAGUGCCCUGGGCGAAGAAAAAUCUAUAAUGUCUUUCUGGACGGAUGGUUCUGUCCCUCUCAAACUGUGUUAUCCCUCUCAACCCGUUAACCGCAAUUAGAAUGUGUCUUCAAAAGUAUUGAUGAAGACAAGAAUGCGUACAUAUAUUAUUGCUGUGUGGCCCAAAUGAGUCCAAAUUAUACUUCUAAUAUUUUAUAAUAUCAUAUUAAUCAGCAAUUUAGGAAAAUACAAACACGAUCAACUUUUAAAAGAUACAGAAAAGUAGUGUUCCAUCCAUUACAAAUUAGUCCUAAACUCAAAGAGAUUAGCAUUAUAAUAACCUGAUUAAAGGUUAAUGAAAGAGCCCUUUCAUAAAUAAAGGUCAAUUUCCUCGACAUAUCCUGUAUUUUUCUAAUGAUUCAAAAAAGGAGGUGAUGUAUAAAAGUAAACUUUACAUUUCAUUGUCACACCAUUGCAUCCCACCAGCUAAAGAAAUUGCCAUCUGUUUUUUGUUUGGUAAACUUUUGGGUACGUACGUACAGUCCAAUUUUUGGUCAAAAAAGAAAGCCACUCUGUAUUUUAUUUAAUAGAUGAAUGGGCAACCGUUCUUUUUUUUUUUUCUGAGAAAUUCUAGGAUUGUAUUCAUAAUUCAGUUAAAAAAAUCAUUAACUACAAAAAGUCAAUGCAAACUAGCCAUAAAAGGCCAUUACAAACAUCAAAAUUUAGAUAAUUUGGUGCACCUCUAUUAAAGAUCACGCAUGAUUGAAUAAACUUUGACAUAGGCAUUCCAUUUAUAAUCACAAAACAAUGAAACCAAUAAAUAAAAAAAUGUUAAAAUUAUGAUCUGUAAAGAUAGAAUUAUAAGCAACUAAAUAUUUAAUUUGAAUAAUAAUAAUAAUAUCUUAUCAGCUCUUAGAUCAAAUGGUAAUUAGAUACACAUCACAUCUCAUGAUUUAACCUAAGUUACUUAUGGAUCACAACUCUUAAGAAUAAAAGGGAAAACAACCCCAGCUACCUAAAACCAACAUAAAAUCUGUCAGGAACGGAACAGAUUUUGGAUGGCAAGUGCAAUAGAAGCCUUUUUGUGAAAGGUGGUCCAAAUAAUGCAGCAUUCACUUUCUAUAUCUUUUCCUGGCUAAAGAAGAAAAUCUCCACAACCCACUUUGAUUUAUCUUGAUAAAGUUUAUAAGCAACUACCCGCUAAGUACAUGUGUCAUGUGGAUAUGUCGUUACAUAAAUAAAUAUUCAAAGUUAAAACGUUUGAUUUUACAAUUCGCCUUAUGCUCACGUCCGAACAACCCUAAUUCAAUAGAAUGAAUAUUUAACUGGUUUAUGGGCAAAAUUGCCCCCACAAAUGGGUGUAAGGGCUACAAGCCAUGGUUAAAAAUCCAGUUCCCUAACUAACUGCGUCUCUCCUUAGGGGACCCAAAUGCUCACAUUUUUUGUCUCACCUUUUUUUUUCUAUGCUGGUUUGUCAUGUACACAAACUCACAUAAAUAGAAACAUACCAAACUUCCAUAUUGCCCAACAGCUAAAGGGCAGCCUUCCCUUAAGACCCUCCCAAUGUCAGCCCAGUUGCCCUAGGCCGCCAAAAUGGGGAGCAAACUGCUCACACCUAUUGGUGUUGCUUGCUGCCUUCUGGCACUGAAACUCAUUCAGAACCAGAAAUUAAAAAUAAAUAAAUUUAAAUUCCUUCAAACAUUAUAAACUUCUGUAGAUAUGAAUUCUUACAUGAAAAUCCAUGACAGAUAAUUGUAGGGUGCACAUGUUCAACUUGAGUUCCUUGUGCUGCAAUUAGUUUCGGAAAUGUCUCACCAUUCAAGACUGCCCAUGUGGGAUUUUGAUAAAAACAAAAACCAGACCAUACAGAUAUAUACAAAGGAAGCUGGUAUGUGGACAUAUAUUCCUCUUCAAACGAGCACCACCAGUUUCAACUUACACGGUAUAUCUCUAACCUGACUCACUUUUUUGGGAGAAUUUAUUGAGCCAUGUUCUAAGGCUCUCAAAAAGCCAUCCUCAGAGCUUCAAGGUCAGCAUGCCCAUCUGUCUGCCUGCAACUUCACUUUUUUGUUUUCUUUCCCAUUCCAAAUGAUUGUCCUGAAUUCCUACAUACAUACGUACAUACAAAGUCACAAAAUUCGUAUCAUGACGUCAUGAACCAAUUUUAAUAUUUAGUUCCUCAAUUACUCAAUUCUCACUUUGGUCUUUGAAUAAAGUUUUAGAAUUCUAUAGUGCUAUCCAACUUUUAAUUUUGUGUCACUUUGGUCCUUCAAUCAAUGUUUGUUCGCUUCUCUCUCAAAAUUUAGGGUAAAAAUGUUCACCCAUGUUGUAUAUACUUCGCCAACCUAUCAACUUCUUUCUUCUCCUAUUUUGUCCCAAAUUGAAGUCGCAAUGCACUUUUGGAUGAAACAAGAGAAGAAAAUUAUAUAUUUUGACAGAACAACUAAAGUGACACAACCUUAAAAGUUUGAGGAUUAUAGAAUUUAAAAACUGAAUUGAGGGGGUAGAGUGAUUUAUUGGUAAUAGUUCUGUCCUUUGGGGAAAACUCAUUGAGAUCCAAAUUCCAAUACCAACGAAACAAGUCACAGUCUCGAUGUGAGAUUGAAUAGAAAGAGUGGUGGUAAUGUCUAUAUAUGCGGCUACCCAUGUUGUGGAUAUGAAUAUAUAUGGAUAGAGCAUAUGAAGGUCAGAAUUGAAUUGGAGUUAGUAGAGGCCAUAUCAUCGUCACUGAGGCAGAAACCAUGAUUGUCAAUCAACACAAGGCUCUUGUGUUGCAGAAGAUGUUUUCAACCUACACAUCAAUUCAUGAACAUGUGAAGGCCAUGUUACUUUUGUCUUCAAGAAACCUUAUAGAGACAAAAUACAGAUGGCUGCUUGAAUUUGAUGACAGCAUCAUAACUGUUGCUGACAUUUCAGCUUACCAAUCUAGUCAUCUCAGAAAAACUUGGGUAUCUAAUUUACAUAUCAAUGCAUCAAAAGUCAGAAUUCUCCGGCGUUGGCAUGCAUGCAUCUCUCUGCAUUUACAUUCAGAAGCCCUUUCGAACACUCAAUUAAUGUAAUGACAUUCGUUACUCUGCAUCAGCACAAGUUUUUGAACAAAUUAAGCUCUGUGAAAACCGAUCAGCACAAGACCAAAUCUGAGUUAGGUAAAACAAAUUUGAGUCAUCCAUUUAAUCAGUUCAAUAUAUCUUUGAUCUCUUGCACUAGCAGCAAGAACCGAGGAUCGUACAUUUUCAUUUAAGUCAUAUCUCAAAUGGCUUCUGAUAGUUCAACGUCAGAAAUGGAUUAAUCAAAAUAUACAUACAACUGCACAUAUGCAUAAGAACAUUCAUACAUGUUUUUACAUUCAUAGACGUCCAUGCGCAUAAACUUCUAAUUCUUGCCGGAUGAUAUGCUGGGUACAAUCCGAUGUUGUUCCUACACUUCACUUCCGUUAGCUCCAAAAGAGAGAUUUAAACGAAAUGGGGAUUCCCAUAACUGCGACAAUACACAUGUUUACAUCAAUAAUCGUUCUUAGGCCUUUCGUGAUCUACACUGCUGUGGAAACUUGAAGGAUAAUCUACCCUGAUCAUGUAUAUUCGUAUCCAGAGGGUGGUUUGGACAGCUGGGGCACUCCAUCCAACAUACUCAGUUUUCUUCUCACGUUAACAAUGUGGGCUUGCACCUAUGAAGUUGAACAAAAUGUCAAGAAGUUAGACCAGUCAAACAGGCAUAAAGAAAGACCAAAACAACAAGAACUGAUAUGGACAACAGCACAUGCAAUCAGGCAUAGCUACACAUGAAACCCAAGCCCAUAACAAAAGUUGUAAGUUACAAGAUAAAACUUAAUCAGAAGCAUUCAAGAUAGUGCAGGACACAUAAGGCAUCCUUCAAUAACCUGGUAUUAACUUGUCAAACUUGACCACAUGUUACGAGAAAGAGCAAAACAAGUCACAAGAAUUUACAAGGACAACAGUACUUGCAACAUGGCAUGGCUACUAGUGACACCAAGCCAUAAAUAAAACAACAAGUUAGAAGAUAAAACUCAAUCAGAUGCAUUCAAGAAAGCGCAGGGCACAUAAGACAACCAGCAAGACUUGAUCACAAUGAAGUGACCUAACCAGGAUACAUAUACAAUAUAAAGAAAGAGAAGCAGAUCAGAAUGACCAGCCCAACAUUGAAGCUAGGAAUAGCAUGUAAUCUCUAGCGAGUAACCCUAGACAGCAGUGCCCUAACAUGACACCAAUAAGCAUGAUCAUACAAGCUCUUAUAUUAACAAAUUAAAAUAAAAUAAAACAAACGAGUGUUUUCAUUCUUAACAGGUGAAAAGGGGGGUGGGGAGGUAAUAAGUUAAGAAUAUGUUAGUUCCAAACUAGUAGUAUUUUACAAGGCAUAAACGCAGUACAAAUGGAGCUGAAGCCACAUUGAUUAGUUCAAAAAGAAAAGCAGAUAGCAACCAAUUCUAACCUCCUGACGAGCCGCUGCAAGUUUUAAGAGCUCAUCAGGCUCUGAAAAAUUCAAGAACCACUGACUAAGGGGAUGAUCUUUUGUGUCCCCUCGUCCCUUUUCAUUCGCGCGAUCAAUCGAUUCUGUAGAAGUCAACAUAUGAAGUUUAAAACCAAAGGAAUUUAAGAAGCAGGAGUUGAAAAACCAGCAAUGCAAGAAAUUUACCAGGAUUAGGCAAGUUAAAACCAGCAGGCAAACGGGGCACUACAACAGCUGGAUGGUUCUGCACACGAGCAACAAAGGCUUCUGAAGGAUCAGGGAAAACUAAUUCAUUGUAAGAUUCCAUAACAACAGGUUUCUUGGUUGACUGGGGCCCAGAUUCGUCUUCAGUAUAUAACUUCAAAGGGUGAAACCUGCAGAUGAUAUGAGCUCCAGUAAUUAUUGAUCUGCCUUGUGGGCCUUUUCAAGCAGAUGAAAUCAAUAUCACAAUAUGCAACUCACAAGUCCAACUGUCUCUCACAGACAUCACUGUGGAAGAACAGACUGAUGGAAAUUUCAAAUUCACCCCAACCACAUUCUGUUAAUUCAAAUGGGGGUGAAUCAACCACUCUCAUAGGGUUAUUGAAACUAGGAUGCAAUUGAAAUAUAACUCGCUUUACCACCACCCCAAGGUCUUCGUUUGUUGCCCCACGAACAUAAACCGUCCACUUAUGGGACUGAGACCUAAAUAACAGAAAACAGUACAGGAAAAUGAUCAAAUAAUCUACUAAAAGCAAAACGCAUACAACAUGACCCAAGCAAAUGAAUACUUACUCACUGGCCUUCCUACCAAGAUAGAAUGCGAUUGUCCCAUACACUAUUGGCACACAAAUCUCGACAUCCUUAAGUCUCCUGUUUGUGCCCUAUGAAAAUUCAAAUAAAAAAGCAUCAUAAAUGUUUAUUGAAAAAAGAAAAGAAGAUGGGCAUUGAUUACAGCUAAACAAAUUUUCCGGGUCUUCUAGCCCCACAGUACAAACCUCAUAUUAUUUAAUAUAAUAGAGAGUGCUACAAAUUGGCAUAAUGAACACGAAAUGUCAGACCUAAACAUGGAAUUCAAAUAUAUGGAACCAACAAAUGCAUAAAUCUUUUAACGUUAGCUCGUUGCUUCCUCAAAUUCAAUUAACUCAGAAACACGUAACUGCAGAAACUAACAGAAAAAGGAUAGAUUUUAUAGAAGACAAAGUGAAAAAUUCAAAAUUUUCAGCCUCAUAGUUACAUUCAUAGAAACCCACAAAAAUUUUAGCCCACGAACAGCACAAGAAUGCACUACCUUCUUGUCGCUAUCUUCAGCAGACUUGGAAAUGCGGAUUGACUGUGACGUUUGUGCAGAACCACCCUCCUCAGGCUGAGGCUGAGUUUCACCUACUUUUCUGACUGACAUUGUGACCAAAAUUCAAGCUUCCGUCCUUGUCAAUUCAAAGAGAGCAAUGAAAACACAGAGUUGAACGCACAAAGCACAAAAGGGUUUUGAUUUUGCGAAUUCGUAUGGCACAAAUUGGGUAUCAGAAAGGGCAAAUUGGAGGUAUAAAGGGGGUUAGGGUUUUAGUUCAUUUGCUUUUGGUUUGGUAUUUUCAGCGGGAUUUCGAACUCUUUUAUUCCAUGCGAAAAUACAAAAAAUUUGACCAAAAUGUUUUCUGUUGUUGUUGUAUUGGAUGACGUCUAAAUGAAAGGAUAACAUUUAUUAUUAGUAAAAAAAAAAUAAAGAAGAUACGAUAAAAUAAAAUUUUUUUUUUUUAAAAAAAAAGCGCCAAUGGGCUACCAUGACAAAAUUAAAUACUCAGCCAGCCUACCAUAACACUCAACACUCGAAUUUUUUAAUUUUUUUAUACAAAGAAAAUUGAAAAGAGACCAUUUAAAUACAGAAUGAAUGCUGAAGUAAUUUCUUGUAACCACUUGUGCUACAUGCCCCUUACUCAAUACUUGAAUUCUUAGCCAAGUACCACGCUUGAUAUAAAAUAUUUCUAGUUAAAAUAUCAUCCGACAAAUGCAGCAUUGGUGGGAACAUAUUCAGAUGAUUAACAAAUGAGAUUUGGAUUCCAAUUAAUGUACGAUUUUCUGCGUUUGGUUAAACAACAGCAUAAAUGCACAACUAGAUAAUGAGUUCAAGGGGGCUCUUCACAAUGUUACAAUCGAAAGAAAGGGUCUCAGACAGAGAUUGCUAUCCAGGGUCGCUCAUUCCUAGUUUUCUUUCUGGUUUGUUGACGUAUGGGUGGGAUUGAUCCAAACAGUGUUGCAAAGCAAGCCACCGGACACCAACCAACGGGCAGGCGAGCGUACCAGAUUAGAUGUUCGAAGCACUCAAAGCCAUCACCUUGCAUUGUUCAUUCAUGGCCAGAAGUUGGGCCUCUUUCUUGUCAAGAAGAGCACUCAGCUUCACAUUUUCUUCCAUAAGUUUCUGAACUUCUGUCUCUUUCUGGAUUUUCUCACCCUCUAACUGUGUUGUUUUUGCAACUAGCCUGUUUCAAAGCAACAUCAGAUGAUAAAACAACAAAACAUUUCCAUCUAGGGUAUAUGGAUGUAGAAAGGGAUGAGAUGGCAUCAGAUUACUGCACAGGCAUAAACAUAUGACUGCUGCUGCUGAAAAACAUAAGAACAACACAUGCAAGUGCACGAGUGUGCCCGUAUGCAGAAGCCAAAGCUACCUUCUUGACCAAAUGAUCUAACAAUACCAGACUAAAAACCCAUUUUAUUAUCUGCAAAAUAGCUCCAGAAAUUCCAACUUCCGGAAGACCAAUCAAUUGUAUGACCAAAGCAAUUAAAAGAAUUUGAAAACUCAGCACCUAAAUAGAUCAAACCAACAAUUUCUAAAUCAGUGCUUGGUAGUUUCAUGCUUGAUAAGUCACCCAGCAAGAUCUGAACAAUACAGUGCCCAGCAAAGCACUCAAGCAGUGAUAACUGCCAGGACAACUAGAUGCAAGCAACAGUGAAACAAGGGAGGCCUCAACCUAGUAAAGAAAUAGAAAAGAAAUUCUAGCAAUAAAAUCUGGCACAACCAUCCAAAUGAUAGAAGAACAAGCACUUGAUAAUUGAGAAGAAUGAAUAUCUGUUGAGUGCAGAACAAAACAUACUGACCGCUCAAACAGCUUUUCAAUAGUUUGGAACUGCUUCUCUGAUGAAAGCAGUGUUUCUCGUACAGUGAUGAGACUGCUAACAUAUGAUUUUAGAGACUCAAAGUCCCGCUUCACACGACAAAGCUCCUGUUCAUUUUCUGCAGCUCGUUGCCGCUGUCUAUAUGUUUCUUCAACCAAAUCCUCAACUCUCUGCUUCAUUUCCGUUAGAAUACCAUUUGUGCCUAGAGCAAACCGUUCCAUCUCUUCUAACUUCAAAGACAUAUUCUCAAUUUGGAUUGACUUUUUCUUAAGUUCCUCCGCACCAACAGUUACCUUCUCCUUCUCAAUUGCAGUUUCGGAUUCUGCCAGUACAACUCUCUUGACAAGAGCUUCCAUUACGUCUGUAACCAUCUGCACAGACUUAAGUAGUUCACCAAUAUAAGUUGCAUCUUGUUCAUCCAGAGGACCAUGUUGCUUACUAAUCCCAAUCCAUGUGUCUUCAUCUGGACUAUCAAAGGAAGAAAGAUCCACAUUCCUAGACCAACCAGAUAACGGUGUACCAUCUUUAUCAACAAACCCCACCCCUUCUAAUUGUUUGAUGCCACACGAUGUAUGCGCUAAAUGAGGAACAGCCAUUAGUCUUGCUUUUGAUUUCAAGUAUGUUAACAGCGUUGCGGUAGUUUUAACUCUCCGCCAAAGAACCUCUAGUUCCUUUUUCGAAUCUUCCUCAGACCCCUCUAUACAAACCUUUACCUCCAUAAGCUUUUUUUGUAAUACAUCCACUUGGGAUUGGCGCUCUUCCAUCUCCUGCUUCCAUAUUUCCUGUGUUUGGCUCAGCUGAGACUUCAACGUUGACAACUCAACAUCUUCCUCUACUGCCAUCCCCUGUUCAAAGUUGUCAAAAUGAAAAUGAAAAGUUCCAAAUAUACUGUAAAGUGACCACUUCAAUAUCAAAGGCAUAACCACCUUUGGAUCCUUCAAAGGAAUAAGACAUUAUGAAGGUUAAACAAAGUUAUAAGCAACAAGGUGCCUGCUAACUCAAAUAGGACUUAUAACAGGAGAAAAUAUAUACGAGUAAGUUUAAUAGCACACGCCAUAUAUCAAGUUUCCAUCUUGCAACAUGGGGCAUACUUCUCUGGUCAAAGCAGCAGAAAUGCACCCAAAUCAAGCAAAUCCAUGCUUAAGCAUAUUAAACACAUUCACCACUCAAAACAGGAAAAAAUCUUAAACCCAAGCUGCAUAUUACAGUGCACAAGAGCUGGGAUGUCUGCAUGAUGCAGAGUUGAACUUCAAGCAAUGUUGGUUAUAUGCACACACACACUCUAUUGCAAAGAUCCUAAUACGUUGCUAGAGACAGGAAAGGAGAUUUAAAGUUGAAUAAAGCUAUAUCCACGACCUCGGAAAUAAAUUUUAACAUGCAUAAUACAUUUUUUAGUUCAUCAAAAGAGGAAAAAAAAAGGGUGAUUAUCACCUGGGUACUUUCUGUAUUUUCCUGAAAAGCUAUACAAAUCAUAUUAUUAACUAACCAGCAUCACUCAAAAAUGAACUCAGAUGACCAAACAACAGCCCACUAACUCAAAUGCAUCCCUCAACUAUGCCUCUAUGAGGCCUACGCAAAAUAAGUAAUAGGAAUAACAACUGUAAGUAGAAGUUCCUACUGAGAGGAAGUCUAUCCAGAAUAAUGCGUUUGGAGAUCCUUAGGAAAAGGCAUACUUUAAAAAACACAAAUUAAAGAAGAUCCAACGUGUGAAUCAUAAAUCUAAGGCUAUUUCCAGUUCAAAAAAUUUUAACUUCCGAGAAAUGGAGGGGGAAAUAAAUAAAUUAAUAUCUGUACAAAACUCAAAUUAUGAUAAACUAACAGCAGAAUCUGGUAACAAUGAACAAAUGAAACCCUAAUUAUCACAUUGGGUUGAUAAUUCCGUCAAUUUUGGCUUUAUAGUUCAUCUGACUAAUCGCAUACAAGCAAAAUCCGAUCUUAACAAAAAGCCUAAACUUAACAAAGUGACAAAACAGAACUGAUACAGGCACGUAAUUACAAAAACAAAAUAAAAGCUACGAUCUAACACGGCAAAGAGAACGAUAAGAUGAACGAUUAAAGCCAAACCAAAGCUCCGAAAAAAGAAAAUGAGAUAGAAAUGAGAACAGACCCUUGGAAUUGAGGAAAAGGCAAGGGAUUUUGAGGGGUUUUGAGUGCAGGAGCUGAAGGUUUGGUGCUGGUGCCGUCUUCUUCUUCGUCCAGCACACCGUUUUUUUUUUCUUUGGGUAAGAAAUGGCAAUAAUAACAAGAAUGAAUGUGAGAGGGAAAGGGCAGCUGUGGUGCUUUCUUUUUUGUCCACCCUUUGCUUUUGUGUUCUUUCUUUUUCUAUUUUCAAAUAAACAAAUAAAAACCUGAAUUUUCUGAAAAAAUGUUUAUAGGCCGACCAGUAUAAUUUACAUCAUGACUAAGAUUUAAUUCAAUUAUUAAAGUAACUAUGUUGGGUUAAGUGGUCCUUCACUUUUGAGCAACAAGCUCAAAAAAGAAAAAAAAUACAAAAAAAAAAAAAAUUGUAAUAGGUUAGUGAAUUUAACUCUGAGGUUGUGAUUUGUGGCUCAAGUCAAGUGGUAGGCCUCAUAUAUUUUUGUAUUAAAAAAAGAUUAGUGAAACUCAAACAAAAAACGUUUUAAAAAAAUAGGUUAAUGAGUUUGGACGAGAGUAGGAUGGGUCCUCGUGUUGCAUCACCUUCUUUUAAUUUGACCCAAAAAAACUAUUAAGUUAAUAUUGUUGUAAAUUCAUAAUGUUCUUUGUUGUGUGUUGCAAGAAGAAUCCAUUGCUUACAUUGACAACAUGGGCGGUAAAGGACUUGAUGUGGGAUUAAAGUUACUUUUUGUUUCUCUUUGAAGGCUAUUCACUGUUCAUGUAUCUAUCAAGUUUGAUUUUAUUUUAGAUGAAGAAAGGGUUGCAUUUUGGGUUAUGGGAUGAAAUUCAUUGAAAUUCUUUCAAGUUUGAUUUCAUUGAAAACUCAUAUUUACAUCUCAGGGAAAUGGGCAAACCAGUCUGGUGUUCCUAGCUAAAACCAGCGUGAGAUCAAGCACCUCAAUCUCUACCUGAAACACUUAAAAAGACUGAUAGGAGCAGCUAUUUCAUGGCAUUUUACAUGUAGUUUAUUUAGCUAUGGAUUUCCUGCAGGCUAUAUAUUGUACAAAAAUGAAAGCGAUUAUAUAGCAGGAGUGCUCUUCUAUGAGAAAGUCUUGGGAACUGAAGAACUGGUAACUAAGCCUGAGAGGAGGGCCACAAUGAGUGCACUAUUGUAAGUGCUUGGUUCACCUUGCAUCGAAUUGUUCCGGUUAUCGAUAUAGGUUUCAUUCAGGAAGGGGCCUCCAACUAGAGCACCAACAGCUACAUUUGGAUUGGGAUUGGAAGAGUUCAGCCACUUAAACCCGUCCUGGCAGCCGGUAUGUGCAUCAGCUGGAAUUGAAGAUCCCCUGUGGUGCACAUACUGAGGGUACUUGCUCCCAUACCCAACAAGAUAGCUCAUCGCCAUUGGAUUUUCGCCCAACACAUAAUCUACCUGAAGAAUGUUUAGUAAUUUGGUCAGAUUAAUGCAGAGAGAGACAGUAACUUUGGAACUUUACUUAAACAUCAAAAGAUGAAUCAGUCUCCAGAAUCCAUUCAAAACUAUUGCAACUUAUUGCCAACAGAUUGAAUACCUGAGAGAUGGCAAAGUUACGAAGAUCGGUAGGCUUGUAGAAUUUCCCAUCACAAUACAGCACUUCAGUCUGAGAUGUAAGCAUGUAGUCACUAUAGAGAACGGCUAGAAAUGCUGAAGCCACAGCAUGCUGCAGACAGUUCCAUUUUAUCACCCAUAUCAGACCACCUAUAUCACAAGACACAUAGAACUUCAUCAAUUUAGUCUGCUCCCACACAGUCGUUCAGCAUAACACACAAAUAGAUUCACUGAUACCGUAAAAGACUGAAAAAAUUACUGGCUGUUCUGCUGGAUGUGGCCGUGGGCGAAUCAGGUAGAAGUCCACACAUGAAGACCUCUGCAGUUUCUCUGUACUUUUGAAGGUCCAUGUUCUCUGCAAAUGAGAUGUCUUUUGUACCAAAGAAACUUAUCCUGGACAGUAGAACCUGCUCCCAAAAAUGUCACAAAUAUUAGCAUAAUCAGAACUUUGCAGAGUCAGCUAGAUGUAUCCUCUCUCCCUGAUGCUUGCAGAUGAAAUUAGCAUAUACUACUUUGUAUAAACAAUUCUUAGCAACAAGGUAUAUGAUUACUGAUCAUUAGAAAUAAGAGCUAUAUUGAUGAUCUUAACAACAAAAUGGACGACUGUAAAUAUAGAUAAUCUGAGCUUAUAAACUACAUCUGACAACUUUGGCAUGAAUUCAACAUUCAAGUACCAUAUGAAGAACUAAAUGGAAACCAGUUACAGAACUCCUUAUAAUAUAUACCUGAGUAGCAGCAUGCUUGUCGUCCCAACUAAACCAAGAUGGACUUCCCCAGUUAGCAAAUGCCGGGCCGUUCUGUUCGGUUGCAUAUUUGAAGUAUGUCAAGUCUCCAGUGGCAUGAUAGAGCCAGGUAGCUGCCCACAAGAGUUCAUCUCCAUAUCCCGUUGAGUUGUAGUAAAUCUGCACUUGGGGUAUGCUUACACUAUAAGAACCUCUGUAAGUAUCAGCAAAAGCAAACAGCUGCUGGGCAUGCAUGAGGAGCAACUUAGAAUAAGAGGAGUUGAUUUUCCUGAAAACCAGAGAUGCUGAUGCCAUAGCUGCUGCAGUUUCUGCUGCAACAUCUGUUCCUGGGAAAGAUGUGUUAAUUUGAAUCAGAGGCCUUUCCUCUGUCAUGACUUCAGGUCUCUGCCAACACUUGUGGUCCAAGUCAGGAUCACCCACCUUCAACCACAUACAAGCAAUCAAUAAAUAAACAAGUUCCAAAGGUUAAUUCUCCCCCCAAAAAAAAGCCAUACAAUUGUGUUAUUACAUUUGUUCACCAAAUAAUGUCUAAACACACUUUUGAACCUUGUUUAUUCUAAUAAGUUACUAUCGUGAUAUGCGUGCUAAAGGUAAUGUUCUCUUAUCAAACUUAUGUUGCAAGACAGAUACUCGUGUUGUUGUAAAAAAUAUUAGGCAAUUAGACCUGAAUAUAGAGCUCAUUGGGAGAAGGAUGUGCAUUGAUAAGGUAAUCAGUGAUCCAUUUAAGCGAGUCAUGGGCAUGAUCCAAUUGCUUCACCGCUUUCAUCUGAUCUCCAUAUUCAAGAAUUCCCCAAGACAACACAGUCGCCGUAAAAGCCAUGGGGAACCCAAACUUGAUGAGGUCCCCUGCAUCAUACAGUCCUUUUGACAAAUCCAAAUCCUCCUCACUCCCAUCUUGGAGCCCCGAAUCCCCUCUCCAUGGAAUCGGAUUAUCCACAAGCUUACCAGCUACAAACAACAACAAAGAAGUCUACAACAUCAACAACAUGCAUAGUUAUUAUAACCAAAAAAAUCAAAUCAAAACGAGAAUUGGAGAACUGGGUUUGUUUACAUUUCUGGAUAUCAAAGAACUGCAUGGAGAGUUGAAGAGCUUCUGAGUAUUUUUGCACUACGGGGCCGGGGCGACCCGAGACACGACUUGAAUUGGAGUGCUUGAAAUACUUCAAGAGAGUGAGUGCAGCCAUAGUGGCAACCAGAGAUACAGUUACUAACAGAAUUAACCGCCAGCACCAUCUCUCUGUCUUUGACCCUUUCUGAGCAGCUUUCUCAGCUCUCUCUUCCAUUUACACAACUAAGAGCACAACUUCUUUCAACCAUUCUCAACAAGAUUUCAGCUUUUGCUUUGUUAAGACUAAAUCAGAUUGUUUUUUUCAGACCCAGAAAAGAAAAAGUAAAAAAAUUCGAUCUUUGUUUUACUUGUUGGACUCAGGCUUGGAGAUGAGACAGAGUCCAUAAGGGCAUGUGUGAGUGCGACUGGGCCUUCGGAUUGGUGGGGUGGGGGUUUGCGUGGAAGGUUGAGAUGUGGCCGAAGAAUGAUGCCAUUAUGUCGGGGAGGCAGACGGCCAAAAACUGCCAGGUACAGCUAGGGCUUUGUUUUGAAACCGGAAGAGAUGAUAGAUUAUUAGAUUGUGCUUGCCUUGUCAUUUUCUGUUCCAACUCCAUGGGAAGAGAAAACCUUGGGUGAGUACUUACCUGCCAUUUGGCAAUGAUGAGUGGCAAGGUAACCUCCACCUGUCUUUGACACGUGGCAAUUUAUGCCAGGCCCAUACCUACUUAAGUAUUGCCAUUGGAUCAAAUUUAAGUCUAUCCAAUGGUCAAAAUCAUGCACAAAUUUCUCUCUACUAGAUUGAGGAAUUGGUUUGCAUUUUGAUUUGGAUGAAGAUCAUUUUAUUUCUGCUUGAGAUCUCAACUCAUGUCAUCUUGAUUCUUUCAAGUUCAAAAUAUGUUGGUUUUCUUAAAUUUUUUUAAAAUUAUUGAUUUUCUAAUGAGCCUAUGGAAACAGGUUAUUUUUCUUUAAUUAUGUUACAAUGUCAAGUUAAAAUAUUUACGGGUCAAUGAUAAAUAUUUGUGUAAACUUCAUUCCCUGGUUUAAUUGUGAGUCAAUUGAGAGCUCUUUUUCAUGAUGAGCAUACUCAUCAAACUUGUUACAUCUCUUGGGCCAGAGAUUGUAAACUUUAUUUUUGUCUAAAGAAAAAUAAAAAAAAUAUCUUGGGCCAUAGAAGAUUGGUUAAAGUUUUUCAACCUUCAUGUUCAGCACCCAGAGGCCCUGGUCAACUAAAUCCUAUGUGGACCAGCCUAGCAAAUUACGGUGGUGCCGCGAAACGGCCCAAGUUAUCCUUCCAUCGAGGUCAAGGGCGCGAGAGGUGUGAACUGCACUGACAACUGAAGAGCUCCGUAGUCCGUACGAUCCCUGUGCCCUCGCUCCUAUACCAUUGGAGCUCUAGCUUAUUAUAUACACGCAGUGAGUCACAGAGAGACAAAUAUUUAUAGAUACAGAGAAAAGAAGAGGAGAAGAGCAAGGUGAUUAGUAAAACUUCAAACUCUUAAUUAACAAUGGCGGAAGGAAGGGAAGGUGAUUGGGAAUGCAGUGGAUGCAGGAACAGAAACUACGCCUUCAGAUCCUUCUGCAAUCGCUGCAAGCAGCCUCGCCUUCUCGUCGACACCAAAACCCCCGCCGACUCCAAAUGGCUCCCUCGUAUUGGCGAUUGGAUCUGUACCGGUUAGACCUCACACCUCUCUCUCUGUCUCUCUCUCUCUCUCUCUCUCUCUUCUCUCUACGUGUGCGUUAAUUUUUUAAAUGUUAAAUGGUUAGAGUUCUUGGGAUUUUGGAUAAUUCAGGGAUAUGGGUUUUAAGGGUAUUCACGUUGGGUUCUGUUUGAACUGUACCCCGCAUAAUAGUAGCUACUUCAGCUCUUUAAGAUAGUUUUAGGGUCAAUUUUUGUUGAUAAUUGAGAAUUUUAGCUGAGAAUGCCAUCUCCUUAGUUCAAUUCAUUCCGUGGCUCCCAUCUUCAGUGACCUUUUAUUAAGUUUGAUUAAAAGUCUCAAUCUUUGAAACUUAAACAAGAGAAGGAGGGUGAUAUUCCUAAAUCGUUAAUUGUGUUUUGUUGAGAGCAGAUAGUGGUUCAGUAUGGCAGUUGGGUGACAUGCUCUGUUUUGUAAAUAAGAAUGUAGGGGAAGGAUGAUAUACAGGUCUGGAGCUUAAUUUUCUAAUAAUUAAAACUCAAAUAUUAUCACCCCUCUCUACUUUUCUCAAUUUCCUAAUUUAACAAAUCGACAGCUUUUUUCCAGCUGCAUUCACUAUAAUUUCACAUCAGUAUACGUUUUCUUAUAUAGCUGUGCUAGUGACAUGAUUUAUUGAACGAAAGCACAUAGUUGUUGUUCCUGCAGCUUUUGUAUUUCGUUGCUUCUACUUUUCUGUCAUUUUGAAAAAAUAGGAACUUGCUAUCAAUUAGGUUGAGUGGUUUUUGUUUCUUGUAUGUGUGUUUUGGUGUGGGAUGGACUGGUUGGUGUGCGUAUACAUGGCUUCCUUUCUUCUUCCUGGCUGGAUUGUGGGUUGGGUGUGUAUGGCAAUGGAUCAAUAGGUUGCACUAACAACAAUUAUGCAUCAAGAGAGAAGUGCAAGAAGUGCGGGCAACCAAAGGAGGUGGCGGCAAUGCCAGCAAUUGCAAUGCCUGGAGCUUCUCUCCCAACUUAUUCACAUUAUUUUGCCAGGGCCCAAGGAGGACUGGACCAAAAGAUGAAUAUCGGAAUAAUGGGCAAUGGUGCUCCCCAUCAGUCGCUUCCUCUGAACUGGUCUAUGGCAGGGGCUGAUAAAUAUGGAGUUCAGCCACCUUCGUCUUGGUCUGUAGGUGGGAACCAUAAUGCUGGACUUCUAUAUUCAAACCCUACUAAUCAGCUUCUUUCAGUUCCAAAAGGAUGGCGCAGCGGUGACUGGUUAUGCAAUUGCGGUUUCCACAAUUAUUCGUCUCGAACACAGGUAUGAUGACACUACAUGAGCAUUCAAAUAAAAAAUUGUUCAUUACCUGAAUGUUGAUAUCUGAUCCACCUGUGAUUUAUCUGCAGUGCAAAAAAUGCAAUGCUUUUCCACCAGGUACACUCUUUCUCGAUCAGUAUGGCAAUUGGUUAUCAUAGAUUUAUGUUUUAGAAGCACUUGAGCUACUGUUAUUGGGUUUCAAUAUUAAGCACUGGCAUCAUGAAUUGUAACUAAUGCUCAUUUAUUUCCAUUAUAAAGCUCUUGGAACAAAGCGAUUAGCAUCGGAAGAGCUUGUUCAUGACUGGGAUAACAAGAGAUUGAACAUAGGAAGUGUAAGUUUGAUUUAUCUAUUCUAUGACAUUUUAGAUUAUAACAUUGUAAAUAACAUACAAUGUCAAUGUUUUCUUCUUCUCCUCAUCCUUUCCUUAUUCUUUUCACUAAUGCAGACAGUUGGGCAUCAGCAAUCCUAUCCUGGGUUUGAGCAAGUGGUAGGCACCAGUGGUAACCCUGUAACUGGACCUUACGCUUCAUAUCCUCCCAGUAUAAGCUCAGGCAUGGCUCCGAAUUUGCAAGUCCCCAUGCCAUUGACACAGCAAACAACGACACCUACACUCCUUGGCAAAGGGUAAAUUUGGAAUCACUUUUUCCUUUUACAUAUGCAUAAGUAGGUGUCACAUUCUGUCGGUUUGAUAACUUUUUUGGUCUUUGAAUCUUAUGAUAUGUGUAUAUUAUAACUCUUGUUAACAAAUAUAAAGUAUUCAUGUUUAUUUUGUUGUUUUCAGUUUCACAGCUUUUUGAAUGUGGAUAAAUUGUGGACUAUCCCUAAUUUUAACUUAGCUUCUGUGGUCUGGGUUACUUAUAUUUUAUUGACUUGGCAGAGCAAAGCAAUGGCGUAAUGGGGAUUGGAUGUGCACAAAUUGCAACAAUCAUAAUUAUGCGUCUCGGUUAAAUUGCAAUAGGUUAGUUUUCAAUCUUAUUAAGUUGAAUUCAUGAUGAAUGCGUUCUAAACUAAACAUUGAUUCCUCUUUUUCUAUUUCCAGUUUGCUUCCGCCCCUUUAUGAAUACCCUUUGUUACUUAUCCUAUUCCUGGGUUUUAAUCCCAACUUUUGAUGGUGUAGAAACUUUUUUCCCAUAACGCAUGGAAUAUAUCCUGGUAGAUUGUUGCUUGAUUUUUCUUGCCUUGGGAGUAGUCAAACCUCUUUCUCAAUUUUUCCUUUGCUUCACUUUUUAAUAAGAACAGGAAUCUCAAAUGUGUGUACCACUGAUCCUAUCAGCAAAUAUGUGUUUUCAGAAUUGCACCAACUGUUUAUAAUUUAUGGGUGUACUUCUUGAUGCUCCAUGUUGAGACAUGUAACUUAUCUCCAUUAGUACGUUGUAAUUUGCUCAGAAUGUUGGAAUCUUUGUUUUCUGCAGGUGCAAGACUCAAAGAGAUGCAACCGCUCAGCCGGUCAAUGUCAUGUAGUCUUUCAAAAUUAUGAAGUUGUUUCAACCUUCCAUUCAUUUUGAACUAUGUUGAGGUGAAGAUGAACGUUUUCUAUAACCUUUGGUUAUCUCCAUGGUGAUACGUUAUUAAGAUAGUAGAUUGAUAUUUCAAUCUUAGUCUCCGCUCGCCAAGAAUGUAAUUUUAUAGCCAUAGUUUCAUCUCAUAUAGAAAGGAUGGGUGCGUAUAUACUGUAUUGAUCGAGUAAUAUUACAUGCUCAAAACUAGUUUUUUUCCUUCAAACAUUCUUUUGGAUUCUCCAUCGCUUAAUUCUCUGAAAUUAGUAUCUGGUGACAUUUCGUCCCACAUAUUCAACACAACAUGCACACACAGGCAAAUUUCUAGCUGGUCCUUUAUAUUGAAUCUUUGAGCUGAGAUAGGUACGGACAACCCAAGUCUGCUUUAAAGGUGAAACGAUGGUGAAUUAUCAUCACAUCAAAAUCAGAAAUACAAAAUCUCUCUGGAAAAGAAAGAAAAAAGAAAAGAAAAAUGGGUUCUAAGAUUGGUGACAUAUUGGAUGUUGUGCAGGUUUAAUUGCUGUUAUGAGACUCAGGAACCCUUGAGGAUUGAAGUGGGAGAGAGAGGAGGUGCAUCCAACUGGUAAAGGUUAAGUGCUGGUCCAACAAACCUGAAGCAAAGCCAAGCUCCAAUCACAAUGUAAAUGGAAGCAUAAGCAAACUUGUUUAUCCAAAAUAGCAACCCUUUCUCCCCCACAUAAAGUUCCAAGGCCUUCUCACCCAGACUCAUAUCCUCCCACUUCUUCGGAGCAGCAGCAGGUUUAGUAAUAGCUUGAGCCUUUGUGAACCGUCCACCAUCCCCAUCACUGCCCUCCUCUCUCUGCAGUUUCGUCCGCCUUCUCGACCUCUUUCGAAAUCGCAGUCCCGUGUUGUCCGGCGCCAGUGGCGGCGGCACGCUGUUACUGUCAGUUUCCGGACUACUGGUGUUGCCACCAUCACUGCCAGUGCUGUUGUAAAUGGGUGUAGAGAUUCUGAGACAUCCUGGACGGGUAGGUGAGAACCCUGAGAAGAUAUGGUUGUGUCCUGUUCCUGUAGGUUUUGAGAGGACAAGGUGGGUUGGUGAGGAUGGUGUUGAAGCGAGGAAAUGGAGGAGCUUGGCCUCCAUUGUUCAACUUCGUUGUUGCAGCCAAGUGAGUGGAUGGAUGGAUAGAUGGAUUUGCUUAUCACUUUCUUUAUCUUUUCUUUGGUUUUCUUCCACUAUGCGAUUAUAGGACCUUGCCAAUCUGCUUAAGAAUAGUUUGGUUGGGUGGGCUUUCGUUGGGCCUCAACGAUUUCAAAUUACUGCCCUGCCCUCCAUGCGCUCGCACACUUUCCCGUCAAAUUACUAAUCUUACUUCAAAUUACAAAAGGGUUCUAAAUAAACAAACUAGGGAGCUUCUAUUUUUAUGGUGCAAUGAGCUUGUUACUCAAGCAAUAACUCAUGCACCUAACAAAGAAGGGUGCAUUUUUGCUCACCACCUUAACCCUAGGUAUACUCUCACCAUCCUUCCUAAAAGUUGACACAUGUCCAUGAGUUUAACUAUGGUUUAUUUUUUAUUUUUUAUUUAUUUGAUAAUAUUAUUAUAAGAGGGAAACAAUAUUUCAAUAAGUUUUUUUUUUCUGAUUUACCUUUAUUAACCGCAAACUUUCCACUUUUCUAAAUUAAUUAACAACUACCCAAAUAAAUAAUUGGCAAUUGGCGUGCUUUAAUAUGAAUAUCAAUUCACAGGCCCCCUUGUCAUGAACACUAAAGCAACCUUGGGAACUCAAUGGAAUGGGUAGUCAUGAAUCCUAGGAGACAAGAUUCCAUUGCUUUAAAAUUAUGAACUUCCAUUAUGAGGCUGACAACCGAGUGCCCACAGUUUGAUCUUAAGUGUAUACCCAUACGCCUACGUGGGAGCUUUAAUGUUGAGAUUUAAGAUUUGAGUCUUAUGUGAUUCUCAUGUUUAUAUAAUGGGCCAGACUUCUGGACGACAAUGAGGGAAACUAUGACUUAUAUUGCUCGGGAGUGGUGCAACUGACCUCUUACAUGAGCACCGAACAAGGCUNNNNNNNNNNNNNNNNNNNNNNNNNNNNNNNNNNNNNNNNNNNNNNNNNNNNNNNNNNNNNNNNNNNNNNNNNNNNNNNNNNNNNNNNNNNNNNNNNNNNCAUAGAACCUCCAAAGGUUUUUCCCAACAUGAACGAUACAGAGUUGCUAUGGAGAUUUUCCAUGACUCAUAGGAUUCCUGACUAUCCAUUCCACGGAGUUCUCAAGGUUGCUUUCAUGCUCAUGAUAAGGGGACCUAUGAAUUGAUAUUCAUAUUAAAGCACGCCAAUUGCCAAUUAUUUAUUUGGGUAGUUGUUAAUUAAUUUAGAAAAGUGGAAAGUUUGCUAGGUUAAUAAAGGUAAAUCAGGAAAAAUCUUAUUGAAGUAUUGUUUCUAUCUCAUAAUAAUGUUAUCAAAUAAAUAAAAAAUAAAGAAUUAACCAUAGUUAAACCCAUGGACAUGUGUCAACUUUUGAGAGGGGUGGUGAGGGUACACCUAGAGUUAAGGUGGUGAGCAAAAAUGCACCCAACAAAGAAUGCAUGUAACAUAACUUUUAGACAACCAAAAAUAAUAAGAGAUAUUUAGUGAUAUACCCAUUUCUAGCACUAAUAUUAUAAAUAAACCCUACACAAUUGAAUUCCUAUAAACAAACCCAAAAAAAACCCAAAAAAUGAUAGCUGGCCUUAUUGAAUUUAAUAUUGAUUAUUAAAUUACUUUGAUGCCCUAUUGAGUGUUUUGGGUAUUUUUAUGAGAUUUUGGGGUUGGGCUUGUUUUAAGAAAUUGAUGGCAGUUUUGUAAUUUAUAAGAAGUUAAAAGCUUUUUUGUUAUGUUGUAAAUAGGCUUUGGGUGUGUUUCUAAAGUCCAUUUUAUAUAGGAUAUUUUUAUAAUUUGGGCCCCCAUAUUGGGUAUAAUAGUGAAUCUCCCAAAUAAUAAUAUAAUCAUGACAUGUGCUUGCUUCUUUCUUAAGGAAACCCUUUUAAAAGGCUUUUCCAAAAAGCAGUCAGAUUUUUGAUAAAAAUUUUAACAUGCUUGCUUCUAAUAAAAAUCACUAUAACUUGCUUUCUACAUAAUAGAAGCACUCUCAAAUUCUUUUUCAAGAAAUAGUUGGAUUUUCUAUAAAAAUUUGGGUUAAUUUUAAUUUGGUACCAUGAACUCUUAUUUUGAAGGCACGUUUAUUCAUGUACUCUCAAUUUUAAUGAUUACAAUAUGAUUACGGCGUUAACUUCAUCGUCAAAAUUUUCGUUAAUUACUUGCAUGGCAAGCUUGGGGCCUCCCUAUUCACUUCUUUCAAUGUCAGUUGAAUGGUAUUUGUUAAAAAAUAGUUUGGUAUUAGUGCGUGUAAUGUGUUCUUCAUGGGCGAGAAAGAUACCAAUUACCCAAAAAUACUCGUCAACUGACAUCAAAAUAAGCAAAUAGGUGAGAACCAUGCUUGCCAUACAAUCAAUUAAUAGAAAUUUUGAUGUUGAAGUUAACGCCGGAACCAGAUUGUAAAAAAUUGAAAAGCUAAAAAUAUGUAAUCAUUAAAAUUGAAUGUGCAUGAACAAACUUAAAAGUAAGAAUUUAGGAUACUAAAUCGAAAUUAACCACAAAAAUUUCAACAUGCUUUGCUUUUAAUAAAAACUUUUAUAACCACAAGUGCUUUUUACGGAAGCAUUCUCAAGCGAAUCCGAAAAAGUAACCUCGGCAUUAGGGCACCAAUCUCCUCACGAGUUCAGAAGGCAAAUCUAUUGAGAGCCUGCAUUCCUAUAUCUAUUCCAACUGCUUUACGAACCGUACACGUGUCCGAUGCCAUACAGGAAUGCGAUUCCAAUCCAAAUAUCCAAAUCCCGGCCGAAUCCAACUUUGUUCCACCCCAUAAAUACAAAUCUACCCCGCCACAAAGCCCAGAACUACAUCCAUAUCCCAAGCUUUUAUAGUCACAAAACUUGGGUUCAACUGCAAUCCAAACCUCCACAAAUACCGCUUCUGUCUACCCGCUCUCUCUACUUGUACCUGUCAUCUGUCUUUAGCUCCAAGCAAAAAUCAACUCGCCGAGUCAACUCGCGCAGCAACAGAGCCAGCCAUGACCGACAACAACAACACUAACACCAACCCAGACAAACCGGUCGACCCGUUUCUAGUCGGGUACCAGCCCUCGGAUCUCCAAAUCGCGUCGGAGUUCCUCACCAACUGGCUUUCCUUCCUCUCCAGAGAUCUCUGUAACCACUGCUCCACUAAACUCGCCGAUCGCGUCCGCUCCCUCGGCUCAGGUACGCCUUUAUUCGGUUUCCAUUUGUUUCCCCGGAAAAUUUAGGUCUAGAUAGUAUGUAAAGUAGGAAAAUUUCAAAUCUUUAUGUGUUUAAGUAGAAAGAGAACAGUAAAUUUAAUAAAUUUUGAUAUUGGAAUUCUUUUGUGGCAUAGCCUUAUCGGGAAUUUGUUGAUGGGUAUUGUAGAACUUGAUGGUGAUUCUAAACCGGUCAACCCAGAUGAAAAUUCCAGUGAUUUGACACCGAAGACCCCGGAAUUGCAGGGGGCUAGUGAUAAUGGUGAAGAUAAUUAUAAUGAUGAGGACUCAAAUUCACUAGGUAGUUGGAAAAACGGAGUUCAUGGGAUAUCUGAAUCCGACCCGGAAGCUUCUAGCAGUGGCUUGGCCCCUAAAUCCCCCUCUGUAGAGACUCAAAGUUCUCGAAUGUCGUGGGCCGAUAUGGCGCAGGAAGACGAGCUAGAGGAAGAGGAAGAGCGUGAAUUGAGUAAGCGGGUGGUGAAUGUAAAUGCCACAACUGGAGAGUUGAGGAUAACGAAGCCUACAUUGUCUAGGGAGCAGAGGGAGUACAUUAGGUUCAUGAAUGUAAAGAGGCAGAAAGAUUUUAUUUGUUUGGAGAGGGUCAAUGGGAAAUUUGCUAACAUUCUGGAGGGACUUGAGCUUCAUACUGGUAUCUUUAGUGCGGCGGAACAGAAGAGGAUAGUUGAUUUUGUUUAUUCGCUCCAAGAGAUGGGCAAGAAGGGUGAAUUGAAAGGUCAGUCUUUGCUUUUGGAAUGCCAAUACAGUGUGGUAUUCCUGUUGAUAUUUCUUGCUGUUUUUGGACAUUUGCUUUAUACAUCCAGUUUUUUAUAGGAGUUUUCUAUGUAUGCUAAUUUGAUACAUGAGCUUUAUGUACUAAAUUUCCAUACAUAGAAAAGCAUAAUGUUUUUAUUGCCUAGCUAGAAUGUAAGUAAAGACGUUCAAACUCUAUAACUAAGUUAACUUUGCAGGGUUAGAUCUUAUUACUUACUGCACAUAAUGUCUUUGGUUGCCUAUUAUAAAAUUAUAUUUGUUGUGGCCCUCAAGGUAUAUUUAGUAAUCAUUUUAGUUGUAAGUUGGCAAAAAUACUUUCUAUGUGGUAUAUGCCAGGAUAAGAUUCCCCCGCUGUUUUCUUGACGAGUUGUAAGUUAUCUUUAAUGUAUUGUUGAUACAGGAAAACAUACAAAAUUUAUUAUUUAGCUUAAACUUGUUUUUAUGCUAGUUAAUUCUGUUACAUGGAACUUUUAGUAUAUCCUUUUAAGUUUUUUUUUUCUUUUCUGAAUUUGAUUUCCAGUUCCAUUCUAAUAUAUUGAAUUUUUUUUUUUUCUUUUCUUAUUGGGAAAUGUAUAUACUGUUUGGCUAACCUAUUCUGAACUUGUUGCAGCGCGUACAUAUACAGCACCCCAAAAGUGGAUGAGGGGCAAGGGACGAGUAACCAUUCAGUUUGGUUGUUGCUACAAUUAUGCAGUGGUAUACUUUUCUGACUAUGGCAUCCAUAUCUGGUGACCUUAUAUCCUAUUUGACUAUUAAAUUUUGUAGAGAUCAGCUAAACUGUGAUUCUGGUGGAUAUCAGUAUAAUUACCGAAAUAUGCUCAAAGGAACUAUAAAGUGCUAGUCAUUUUAGAUGUUGCAUUGCAUCUGAUGUGCUAUGUUGGUUUCAGGAUAAAAAUGGUAAUCCACCUGGUAUCCUCCAGAAUGACGUAGUAGAUCCUAUACCUCCUCUUUUUAAGGUGAUCAUUAGGAGGCUGGUAAAGUGGCAUGUGCUUCCGCCGACCUGUGUACCUGAUAGUUGCAUUGUCAAUAUAUAUGAAGAAGGGGACUGUAUACCUCCGCAUGUUGACAACCAUGACUUCCUUCGACCUUUUUGUACUGUUUCAUUUCUUAGUGAGUGCGACAUACUUUUCGGAACAAACUUAAAGGUUAUUGGUGCUGGCGAGUUUGAUGGUUCAUUUGCAAUCCCCUUGCCUGUUGGGUACGUAUGCCAUCCAUAUUUGUGCCUGUGCAUUCUGUGCCCUUGUUUAGCCUCUACCCGUUGUUUUCAAUUACAUUUAUCCAUCACUCCUGUGUUUAGAAAUGUGGCUGUUUCGUCUGUUAUGCGAUUAGGGGCCGUGAUUUGAUGUUUGCUUGUGUGGCAUCCUCUUGUUUUUUGCCUUUUGCUGUUCCUUUGGUGUUUUGUUCUUGAGGCAGCAGUUUUCUCUUGUUUUGUGUUUUCUCUUGUGGAUCCCUUACCCACACCUUUUUUGUUUUGUUACCCUAUUUUGAAUAUAUCAUUUCUAUUUAUAUAAAAAAGGGCAUUUAUUUAUAUUAAAGUUUUAAUAUUUGCAUCAGCCUUUUCUUGGAUUCGAAAUCUUAACAAUCAGCCUUUUCCCAUGCAGAUCUGUUCUGGUUUUAAAUGGAAAGGGGGCUGAUGUGGCUAAGCAUUGUGUGCCUGCAGUACCUACAAAACGGUAAGAGCUAAAACAAUGCAGUAUAGUUCUUGUACUAAUGAUUUAUGUUCAGGCUAUUUACCUGCUCCUUUAUUGUAUGUCUUAGGAUAUCUAUCACAUUUAGAAGAAUGGAUGAAUUCAAACGGCCCAAGGGUUAUGCUCCAGAACCUGACUUGCAGGAUAUUCAACCAUUGUCCUAUGAAGAGGACAAGAUAAUUAGGUUAAAUACUCCUAGAGGCGAACGUCAGAGACAGUCAACUAGAAGAGUAGGUAACUCAGAAAUGAGGGGAUCUACAGAAAGAAGUCACGUCCACCCAGAGCCUCAUGACUCAACCUGGAGUCGACGCGGAUCUGGAAUGAGGUGGAACCGGGGAAGGGGGGUCAAUGUGAAUUUUGGGGGCUAGUUGAUGAUGGGUGCUUCAUUGUCAAGUUAAAGUGUUGCAGUUGGGCCAUUUCAACAUUUGGAGGGCUAAAUAUUGGUUUUUGACAUGUGGUCGUCAGAUGAGUUUGUCAUCAAGGUUGUUACAUAUUCAUAUUCCGGAAGAGCUGUAGGAAAAGGGUCUGAUUGGUUUUGUAUCUUUCUACAUCUAUUUAGGCUUGUCAACUGUGCUUUGGUUCAUUCUUUUUCCAAGAGCCAUAUGUGUGCAUUUUUUAGUAUAGUAUAGGCUAUAGCUGAAGUUCAGAGCAAGCGGCGAAGACGGUGGACAAAAUGAAACUUGCUGGCUUGAAUGCCACCUCAAUUUUAUUAGGAUGCUUUACUUAUAAGCAACUGGUUGCAUAAUUAGGGUAGCACUAUUGGGUUUGUGAGUUUGAAACAUGGGUGAUUUGUACCAUAUAUUGGAUCAUCAACCAACUUGAAGCUGGUUGUUUUUGUAGCAUAUUGCUACUUUUUAAUAUAUCCUAGCGUUGAUUGUAUGGUCAAAUGGGUGUGCUCUUAUUAUUCUUUGAUGAUCGAGGUUAAGUUUAGGAAUAUCUUUAGAUUAUUGGACCAUGAGCAUAAACAAGUGAAGAUUAAAAUACUCAUCAUCACAAAAUAAAACCCAACAAGAACAAGUGGGAAAAUAUUACUGCUUAAAGCUGUUUAUUGCAUGAAUUUCUAAUCUUGGUUUUCCUCAAUCCUCCCGAACCCAAGUUCCAAACUUUGAGAUUGUGGUCCACAGACCAUCCAGUCAAAAACUAUGGAGAAGCCAUUAUUUUUUUCCCCCAAACAAAAGAAAAUGUAAAAACAAGAUGAGAGAGAAGUUUGAACGCAACAGUAGUGGCUGGUUGGGGUGGUCCAAUAACCCACAAAUGCUUCAUUUACAUGCCAACCCUGAAACCCCAAAAGGCCUAACCUUUGCAUCAAUUAUGCAAGGUGGGGUCCACUCUAUAUAUGACCCUAGUGCUAUAGAAACAAAGCAUAUUAAACCACAUGAAAAGGCAACUGCGCUGCCCCUGCCAUCAAAACUUUAGACUUCAGAGGCAAAGUGGCAGCAGCCUAGCUAGCUAGCUAGCUAGCAAGGAAGCAAUAUCAUAUAUAUUAUAUAUAUAUAUAUAUAUAUAUAUGCGUGCGUGUGUGUGAGAGGGCGUCUUAUUAACUAUUCUAAGCAAAGUUUCUUGUAUUCAACAUAUUUAAAACGAAAUGCAUGUUUAUAUAUAUAUUUAUGGGUUUUCUUUCUAUUUCCCUUAUAAGAAGCAAAAGAAAAAAAAUUGAAUGAAUUCAAGGAGAGAGAGAUUAAAACUUGAGGCUAGGGUUCUUGCUCUAAAGAGAUGUAGAUGCAAGUCUCUAUCUUGGACUUAAGAGAAAGAAACCAAAAAGAAAAUUAAUGAGACUGUAUUAAGUAAUAGGGUUUUCUUUCUAUUUCCUUUAUAAGAAGCAAAAGAAAAAAAAUUGAAUGAAUUCAAGGAGAAAGAAAUUAAAACUUGAGGCUAGGGUUCUUGCUCUAGAGAGAUGUAGUUGCAAGUCUUUAUCUUGGACUUAAGAGAAAGAAACCAAAAGGAAAAUUAAUGAGACUGUAUUAAGUAUAGAGUCUAGAGAGAGAGAGAGAGAGAGAUGGUAGACAGUGAUGAUAUAAUUGUGAUGUAUCUUGAGAGAUAUGGGAAGAAAAUAACACCCAAAGGAUGAUUACCCGAAAGAAAAGGGAGGGUGGCACAGCGGCUGUGCACACUAAGGUCACUCAAUUAUGAGGUAAGCAGCUCAGGAUUUUGGAUAAGAAGAGGGACAGAUAUGUGCAACUUCACUGCCAAAUCAAAGUCUAAAAGUUGAUCAAAGAAAACAAGACUGUGACUAUUUGGACAAAGGAACAAAAACCCACAUCUCCUUUCCUCCCCUCCUCCCUGUAGGCUUUGGCUAAUUGGCUAUUUGUCUUGAGAGAGAGAGAGAGAGAGAGGCUCAAAGUCCCAAACCCCAUGUAAAUGCAUGAUAAGGAAAGGAAAUCUCAUGAUGAUAGUGUCAAAAUCAAACAUAUUAUGCAAUCUGAAAAAGUUGAGUUGAGAGAGAGAGAGAUGUACAACAGUCAGAAUUAUAGAAAAAAGGAAUGAGACUGGUUGAAUUCAAGGAGCUAGCUAGCUAGAGAGAUUGAAUGAAUGUUCUCCAUUUGCCCAAAAAUUUAGUGUAAAAAGACAAAAUCUAGCAACUAGCUUAGACACAUAAUCAUUUCUGAAUACUCACACAAAACACAUUAACAUGGUGGAUUAAUCUUUUAUUUUCAAAGACUAGACGUCAUGUGUGAUUAAAGAAGAACACACAUAUUACUUAUUAUUAAUGAGAACAAUAUUAAUUCCGCAUAAAACGCAAACCAAGCUGGGGGUGUUUAUGGGUUUAAGGACCACAUGCAGAUUGCGUGUGUAUGGGAAGAGAAGAGUUAAGAGCUAAGACCUAAGAGAGGAGGGAUGAUGGGUGGUACAAACAAAGCGGCAGUGGCAAAGAAUGAUGAAGCUUUUGAUGAUGAUCUCUUCCUCCUUCUUCUUCUCCUCCUCCUCUGCAGACUAUAUGCAUGAAAAGCUUCAGAAACCAUGACACAGAGCAUAUUAAAUGCUUUUUGGCAUUUAUUUUGGGGCGCGUGCACUGUAGCAUAAAGGAUUGCAGGCAUCAUGAUUCAUGACAAUGGAUUCUCUAGGUUGCACUUUAUUUACUAUGUGAUAUUUGGUCUGUCACUAUUCAUGUGAAUAGCGGCAGCCGUUGCAAUUUUAUUUUCAUCGGACGCCUUAGAUGCUGCCACGUGUCUUGUAGCAGUGGAAAACUAAUUUGAAAAGGGCACUAACGCCAGCGUGGCGUUAGUAAACCUAGGCAACAGCACGGGUCGGAUCUACCUUUGGGCUUACCUGGGUUGAUGGCCCCCACAUCUUGCCCGGACUGCUUUAUGCGCGUUAGAAUCGUCUCGCGAGCCUAGGGCCCCUCCUGCCCGGGCCAAACUGCUGCGGUGGACUUAGCUCUAAUAAAUCACUUCCUACUUAGAGUUUGUGUGCUUUUGCUUGUGCAACACAACUUUUUUAUUUUAGUAGUCUUUCUUUCAUUGUUAAGGUGUGAUUGAGAAUUGCAGUGUCUAAUAACAGAAACGCUUUUUUUAUUGUUGUUGGAUUCAAAUGGGACAGAAGGGUUUUUGUUUUUGUUUGUUUGUUAGAUAAUCACUUUUAGUACUUCCUAAACAACCACCUAGGCUCGUUUUGAGUGUUAGAUCGUCAUAUCGUGAAUUUAAACUAUUACUAAUCGUAUUAACUUUUGUCGUGUGAUUCAGAUUCAUUAUUUUGAGUGCCUUUAUGAUAUAGAAUUCUAAUUUAUAACGUGGGAAACUAUUUGAUACUUUUGUUUAUACCAUUGUUGACCAAAUUAUUUCAAUGCUAGUAAAAGUAGUUGUCCAAAUGUAUGCUCAAAGUUGGAGUGUGCUUCAUAAUUGGACUAAUAGCAACUAAAUCUCUUGAUUUGAUGGUGAAAUUUGGUCCGUUGUCGUGUUCAAAUUCAAACUAUGAAUUGAGUUAUAUGGAGUGGCUUUGACUCCCAUCUUUCUCUAUUUGUUCUUUUUUGGGUGGGUCGCCAGGGAUUUUCUCCUUGUGAUUCUAACAUUCUUAUUGUUGAUAGCUUAAAGAUCAUAAAUUUGAUCUUUGUUUUCAUAAUGUCAAAAGCAUAAUUUUCAAUCAAAGUAAGUAUGACUUACAUCAUUACAUGCAUGCAUAUGUUACCUCAACAUGAAAAUUAACAGUAUAUAAAUAUGCAGGCAACCAAUUGGGGAGAACAAAUUCAAAAGUAAUGCAUAUUAAUAUAUAUUUACAGACUGGAAAAAUAAAUUUUUCUGUCAAGAAUCGGAGAUUUGAUUGGCACAAGUAGGGGUAGGAGGCUCUAUAGCUAGAAGCUGUGAGUAAUUUGCAUUGAUUAUUACCAUGCUGUAAUUGGCUCAGAAGUAGUGCAAACUCUCCACUUAUAUAUAUACAUAUAUAUAUAUAUAUAUAUUCCUCAAGGCUGUAAAUAUAUGUAUUUACUCUACCCUCCCCAGCUCAGGCCAGAUUAUUAUACCCAAAUAAUCUAGGCUUAAAAGGGGGGAUAGCAGAACCAAAAACAUAGAAACCCUAAUGGCAAAGAGCCUCAAGUACAGUUUGAAACCUAUGUAUAGGGUAGUUCAUCAAUUUCAAAUGACAGUUUUGCCCUUGACAACCCUAUAGGUAAGUACAAGAAUAUCUUGUGGUUCUGGCUAUGGCUAAAUCUUGGCCUGGUUUUGUUAUCAGAAAAAAGAAAUAAAAGGACUCUAUGAUCUCCAUUAAAAGAAGAACCUCUAAAUCACACAGUACCACCAUCAUUUUUAUGGUCAUUCAUUCAUUCAUUCAGAAUCAGAAGCCUCUUUCUUCUUUCUUUCUUUCUUUCUUUCCAAUCCAUUAUAUCAUCACUUCAUAUCAUGCCACCCCACAUUUUAUAUUAUAUUAUUCUUCUCAUCUCUCUCUCUCUCUCUCUCUCUCUCUCUCAAAGUGCAUCAUUAAUAAUUUUUCAUAUAUUCUGGUCAUGCCUUUUCAACCGAGUAAUUCCCACUGAUACCCUCCCUUUCUAAGCCCUCUUUUGUCCCUUCCCUUUUUAUGAACCUCCUCUCUGUCAACUUCAGUCUUUCUCUCUCAGAUAUUUCUCUGAUUUCCUCUCUUCAUAUCUCCAUGUGCCCCUCCCCCAUCUUAAUUAUAAACCCAUCUUGAUCCCCAAUCCCAACAUUUCAAUUUCAUGCAUUUCCUCUCUCUCUCUCUCUCUCUGCGGAUCACUGUUCUCAUUUUUGUUUGCUUCCCUUUGUAAUUUUCUUCCUUCCAAGCCCUCUCAAUGGAACCUCAACAAACCCAACAACAACCAAAUGAAGAUGGCAGCAACAAAGGGACUAGUAGUGGUACUAAUUUUCUGUGCAGGCAAAGCAGUACAAGGUGGACACCCACAAGUGAUCAGAUUAGAAUAUUGAAGGACCUUUACUACAACAAUGGUGUGAGGUCCCCAAGUGCAGAGCAGAUUCAGAGGAUCUCUGCUCGGCUGAGACAGUACGGCAAGAUUGAAGGCAAGAACGUUUUCUAUUGGUUUCAGAACCACAAGGCUCGUGAGAGGCAGAAGAAAAGGUUCAUUGAUGUACCAGCCCCACCCAUCAUGCAAAGAUCAGGGCUUGGGAUUAAUAAUAAUAAUGCUCCUACUGCUUAUGAACCCAUUAAUCACAGCAACAAGUACCCCAACAGUUCUGCUUCUGCUGGUAAUUAGUUGAUUAAACAACCAACCCUUUUAGCUAAUUAAAAAAUUAAUUACCUUCUCCCCUCCCCUUCUUUCUUUCUUUUUACUAUAUUUGGGUGUUUUUUAUUUGUAGGGGUUUCUCCUUCUUCAGCUGGUGUGAUUGCUGUUGGGCAAAUGGGGAGCCAUGGCUAUGGAUCUAUGACCAUGGAGAAGAGUUUUAGGGCAAGUAUAUAACAGGAAGUUAUUGUGUGUCUUAGUUGCUUAAUUACAACUUGACCACCUUAAUUUUUUGCACCCAUGUGAGCACAGUGCAAGCUUAAUUUACUAUAAUCUACUCAUACAAAAACAUCCCACAUCCAGCCACUGGAAAUUUUCUAUAUUUAGGAAGAAACCCUUUGGCCCCUUGUUUCCCUUUCAUGACCAAAUUAAAAAAACCCCAUUUCUCAAAUCAAGCCAAACUAGUUGAAUUUACAGUCCACUCUAGGACUGGUACUAAAAUGAAAAAACAGUUUGAGUACUUUUAACAAAUGUGAAAUUCAUUAACCCAUCUUCUCUCUUCUUCUUUUUUCUUCCUUUUUUUUUUUUGAAUUAAUUGCAGGACUGCUCAAUAUCAGCUGCAGGAGGUACUAGUAGUGGUCAUGUUGGUGGAUCUAAUAAUAAUAUUGGUCACAACUUUGGAUCAUGGGUUGGUGUUGAUGCAUAUUCUUCACCCUACACUCUCUUUGACAAGAGAUCAUCAUCAAGACAAGUGUUUGGUGACCAAGAAAAUACGAUGGAUGAAGAAGAUCAUGAAUACCAAGAAAACCUGCAGGGUUCCCCAGAGAUUGAAACCCUCCCUCUCUUCCCCAUGCAUGGUGAAGACAUCCAUGGCUUUGGCAACAUCAAGUCCACCUCCGACGGCUACUACUCCGGCUGGUACCGCUCCGACGACGGCAACAAUGGCCGCACUUCCCUUGAGCUCAGCCUCAAUUCCUACGGCCACAUGACCCGUGAUUAUUUCAGAUCAUAUUAAUCAAGACCAGACUAAUUAAUUAGUAUCCCCAUGUUAAUGUUUAUGAUCUUAUAUCAGCUUGUAAGUAUCUGAAUGGCUACUACUAAUUAUGUUUGCUUAACUACUAUAUGUCAAUGGGUAUUUGACACGUGUCAUGCAAAGAACUUAAUCUGCUGAUGAUUAUCUUGCUUUUAACUUUUAGUUGUUCCUAUUCCCAAGAAUAUUCCAUGGUAAUUAUUUGCUAAUUAAGAUGCAUGGAGUCUCAAUAAUAUAAUAACAAUAAUAAUCCCAUGAUUCUUAAUUAAAAUGCAAGAACAUGAUCCGAUGGUGCAGAUUUUAACUGCUGGACGGUUUGCAGUCACCUUCAUUGGAUUAAAUAAUGCAUUAAUAAAAGGCCUGUUCAUUUUCAAGCACAUAAUAAUAAAUAAAUAAAUAAAAGUUAAAACUGCAGCUAGACUAGAGAGAUGAAGAAGAUCAAUUUUUGACUAGCUUGCUGUGCUAGCUGUGACGUCAUUUGUCGACAGAGAUUUUAAGUGUGGGGCCCUUGAACUUGAAGGGAACUACGGUGGGUUUACGUUAGGUUUUGGAGUUGUCAAGGUGGGUUGUGUUUAUGUUGUUCUGGUGGGUGUGGGCAACGGGCAUUGUCGAAAAGAUUUGCCAAUGAUAUCAAAUGGUGUACAAAGGAAAUAUAGAAAGAUAUGCUGUUAGGGCAACAAUGAUGAACGUGUGUGAAUGUAUUUUAUAUGCAGCCGUUUUUAUAAAGUAGCUGGGAGCUAGUGGUAAGUGCGAGGAGGAUAUAUUUUGAAGUUUGAACCUACUUUGGAAAUACCAAAAUAUUCUUCUUCUUUUCCUCUUUCUUUUUUGUAUAUAUAUAUAUAUAUAUAUGAUAUGAAGCAAGUUAUUUUAUAUAUGCAUUAAAAUAAAUCCAACAAUCAUGAAUAAUAUAAGUGUUGAAUCUUGGAAAGUGUUACAUUUCAUUCGUAAUGUGUCUUAUUUUUGACUUUACAUUAAAUUUUAUUAUUUGAAUUGAUGUUCAUGCCUUUUACUUAUUCAGUAUAAAAAUAGUAAGUUUCGAUGCCUAAAUAUCUCGGUAGGCUUCCCAGUCGGUUUUUCACGUUCAGUUAAUCAGUGAACUUUGGUAUUUCUAUAUUUUUUGCCAGCCCUAGCUUUGAGUAUAUAAAUAAAUGAUAUAUUUCUUAUACCAUUGGAUUUACAAUCACUUAGAACUUUGACGAGUGUAAAUGGCGUCUUCUUCACAUGGGUACGAAAUGAGUUAAACAAGCAGAAAUGAAAUGUGUGUACAAAUGAACGUGACAUGAGCCAUACGACACAUUCACAAAGACAUUCACCAACAGAAAAUAUAUUCACUCUCCAUCAGUCCAUAUACAAUCACAAUUGGGUUCAAUUUUUCUUGCGUCUGGUAGAGCUCAGCUUGUGGACAGCUCUAUAAAUGAGGUCCCCAUCAACAAGAUUUUGGGUGGAUGCAUUCCUUUUUCUGGUUUGACAGAAGUUCAAACUUUAUAGCUUAGGGCUGACCUUAAUUGUCGUUUAGAGCAUACAAAGCCUCAAGAGGGAAAAAAAUAAAAAAACAGAGAGCAUGAUCUCUUCGAAGAAGUAACUAACAGACAAUGCUUCUUGUUCCUGGUUGAUAGAUAUAAGAGAGAUUUAGGUGUGGAUCGAAGAAGAUCUUUAAAGCUUUCUGGGGCUUCAAGUACGUAAUGUCCCUUACCAGCAAAAUGAGGCAUGACAUACAUCAUGCUUUUCAGCCAAUUCUAUGUAAAAGCCUUCAAGGCCAUGGUCCAAGUUGGUUUGCUUGCCAUUUUCAUCGCAACUAUAUAUAUUGCGGUUCAAUAUUUUUUUACCUAUUGGUCCGCAUGGGUCCAUAAGACAUUUUGCUUUACCCGUACGUAUACUAUGUCCACUUACUCACAUUUCCAUAAUCUCUCCCACAUGAGUUUUAUCUUUAUCUUCUUCUCUUGGAAUGGAGAACUUCAGUAGUCUGACCAUAGCUUGAAUUUUAAGUGAAUCUCGAGUUUUUCGGGUGCGGAAUCCACACCAUUCACGGUUGUCGGUUCUCCACGCUUCAAUAGACUACUCUAUAUUGUUGAUAUGUGCAUUGUCUACACCCAUCAACGACUGUCAAUUACUAACGCAUAUAGGAGGUGGGCAUGGUUGCCAUACAGUAAUUCAACAUUAGAAAACGCCUAUUUUGGCACCAGUGUGACUGGCCUCCACCACUUGAUAUCUGAUCUGACAUUUCAUCUUCAUGAUACGAUUUACAAUCAUGGAACAUGCACACUAUGUAAAAUUUGGAAGUGAUAACUUUGUAAAAAAUUUACAUUUAGAUGCCUGACACUGACUUUACAAAGAGCAGGCCAUACGAUCUGGACCUUACUUGCAGAGCAUCUAUAAAUCCUUUAAGAAUCUAUAUUUUGGAUUUAAAAAGAAUGACUCAUAUGUUAGUACAAUUCUCUUUUUCUGUUCACGGGGUCCCAGAAGCAAGGCUGAAUCAUGACAAUAACUCUGGCUGUAACUUCAAGUUUCACUAACAAAUGGACAAUUAAAUGGCACUUUUGAACUGCUUUGCACUAGAAAUUAGGGGGGAGAUGACCGAAAAUUUCUACUUCCUUCCAACAUAAGCUCCCAAUUUAGACAAAUCUGGAAUCCAAAAUGAUAGCUCAGAAGAUCCAGUUGCAAACAUGAGGUUUCCCGGAGCCCAUUUGACAACAGGAGGUUCAUUUUCAGUGCUCAUCCAACUUGUGACCUGGAUAGGUUACAAUCAUUAAUUGUGACUUAGAAGCACAAGGAGAACAAAGAAAUACGAAUGGAUGAAGGCAGAAAAUUAUUUAUCAUACUUCUUUCCCACUCCGAACACUCCACGCAUAGACACUACCAUCACCUGAACCUGCCAAAAGUUUGGAAACCAAUAAAUCAUUUGUCUGCCAGUCCAGCCAGGUUAAAUUAUCAUGGGUGGAAUUCAGGGGUAUGCUAGGGAAAGCAGGUGUUUUUGGGUAAGUAUAUUGAAUAAGAUGUAUGCAUGAAAAUGAAACCACAGCAUUGAAGAAACUAUGCAUUUAAACAGCAAUCAACAAGAUGAUGUCCCAGAGCUUACUCACAUGACACAAGAAAUCAUAAGUGACAAUUAUGUUGGAAUUUUAUACCCACUCAGCACAAUAGGCACAUAUAAGUACAACAGAAAGAAAAAAUGAAACAGAAGACAUGCAUACCUGAUAUGACAAACAUCCCCUCUGGGCUGAAAGAAGCCUCUAAUGUUGAACUGCUGGAGACUGGCUUUACAUUAUAUGUGGAUAACUAAACAAUGACAAAAAAACCAUAUAGAAAGACUAAAUUAUGUAAAGGCUACCAAUUCAAGAAAUUCAAGAAAUUCAAGAAAUUCAAGAUGAUCUGAGUUGGUUGAGAGCAAACUUUUUCAAAUUAAAAUUGAGUUGUUGAGGAGAGCAACUUACAAGUGUGCCACGGAACGAAUCAAGAACAUGAAUAUGUCCAUCUGUGGUUGUUAAAAGCACAAGUCUCCCAUCGUUACUGAACUUUACAACAUUUGCAUCAGACAUAUCUCCCCCAACAGAAAAGAUAUCAAAAGGACCCUAACAAGAUGAAACAGUUUAGACAACCAGAUCAGCCAUGCUUACAUUGUCAUAUACAGAUAAAACAGUUUACACGGCUGCAAAAUUUCAAUUGCCAUAUGCACUGAAAUAUAAACAACUGACCUUUUCAUACUUGCGGGCAUCAAACAUUCUUAUGUAUCCACCAAAGGCAACUGCAAAAACUAGCCCUUGAUCAUCAUAAGUUGUGGCAGGCCUUCCUUGUACGCGUAAGAGACCCUAAAAUACGAACACAGAUUAUAAUCAUUCAAAGAAAGACAUGUAAUAUAAGAAACCCAACCCAAUACCCAUAUGCCAAGGCCCCUACCUGACACUUCUCAGCCCGUUGAUCCCAAAGCAGAACAGUUCUAUCAAGAGAACCGGAGAUGAAGCAGUCUUUGCGAGAACACAAGCUAAGUGAGACUACCCUAAACACAAAAGUUCAGAACCCAAUUUCUCCCAUUAGACAGAUAUGUUCAACUACUUCAGUACAACCCACCCACUUGAGUUUUAAAAAAAUGGCAAUAAUCUCAGAAACCAGACCUGUCAUGGUGGCCUUUGAAAUAACGCAAGUACUUGUUGUCAUGCAAUGAGAGAAGCCUCAAGGAUUCUGAAUGAACCAGUCAUAUAAACAACACAUUCUAAGUAUGCCACACAGUUGACAAACAUAAAUAUCAAACAUGGUAGUUGAGGUAAAGUGGAAGCAUACCAUCCCAGCCAUUUUUGGAAGAGUAUAUAACUGUGGUAGGAUGAGAAGUAAAGCAAACCAAAUCAACUCCAUACUUUUUGCUGUUGAUGGUCUUCAAGCAUGUUGCAGUGGAGACAUCAUAUAAACGAAUCGACUCAUCAUCACUAGCAGUCACUACAUAACUAGUCGCCUUGUGAAAAUCCAACGAACUAAUUCUACCACUCUGAGCAUAAAAGCAAAUACUCAGAUUCAAAUACACAAAGCUCGAAGAAAAUGGUAGUUUUUAUUUAUUUGUUAAAUGAUGAAAACAACCAGAAACAGAGAGAUAAAGUACUUACAUAGUCUCUAAAAGCUAACCCAACUUCCAUGCUUUGAAGAAUUUCCUCUGUCAGCUCCAUAGAGACCUUGUCUUCUCUUUCUGAAAUCCCUUCACAGCAAGAACAAAAAUAGUAAAUAAAAUCAGUAAUUCACUAAUUGACACCAAAUCUAAGCGAAAAAUGUAAAAAAUUUCACACCAGCCAUUGGGAAUCGGUUAAUAUGGUUCUGGGUCUAUCUCAUUCCGGGAAAUUGAAAAUUUCAGUGAAGCCCUCCGCCUCCUGCCUCCGUCUCCAACCUUCGGCAAUGUAGAUGAAAUAGACACAGGGUCGUUUUUCUUUUUCGUAAGCUCGCCAAGUUUGUCAUUGGGUGAGCUCAAGCCCAUAUAUGUGUUUUAUGGACUUUGGACCAGGUUUGUUAGCUCGUAUGCUUUUACUUUUUGGGUCGGAUCUUUUAUUGGCCCAAUGAAUUCUUCUUUAGUCCAUUUAUUUUUAUGGUGAUACCAAUCAUCUAAUUCAAUUCUCAAUAUCAAUUGGAUGAUUGGAUUUGAUUUGAUUUGAUUUGAUUGAAAACAUCACGAAUCUAUAUCUUAAAUAAAUUGAUUUAAAUUAUAUUACUUUCGAACCGAUGCACACCGUUAAAUAUCAUAUGAUAAAAAUUUUCACGAAUCUUAUACUUUCAUUGAUGAUGUUGAAUUUAUGAAAUUCUUUAACAAGUGUCAUUAGUAUGUAUCAAUUUAUAAACAAAGUGCUUUGAGGACCAAAGAUUUUUUACAAACAUUUUAUCUGCUUUUUCUUUUUUUCUGAUUAAAGACAAGCAUCUUAUCAUUGCAAAUUCGAUUCCAUAUGGAACAAACACCAUAUAUAUUGCGUUCUCAAGAAAAGAGAUAAACCACAUAUAUAUAUAUAUAUAUAUAUAGAGAGAGAGAGAGAGAGUUGUUCUCUACUACAGACCCGUAUUUUUUUUAAUGUCCAGACCACUUGUUCUUUUGCCUUCUUUGUGUUAAUAAAUCAACCCAAACACUUGUAUCACUUUUCUUGGUAAAGGUAGAAUAGAAACCAUGCUCUGUCAAUUCUUAAAAGUCAAACAUCAUCACCUCUAGAUUGGGCUUUUCUUUCAUUGGUGGACUGUAAAGAGAAUUUGGAGGCUGUUAUGUGUGCUUUAGUGCCUUUUUUUAAUGAUAAAGAAGAGAAAUGCAGAAAACAAAAUGGAAAUGGUUUCCUGAUCAUGUGAAAAAACAAGUGCACAUUAAGCAAUUCCGGACGUCCACACUAGAGAAUAGUCCUAUAUAUAUAUACAAACAGUUAUUAGGAAAGAUUUAGAUCAUUAAAUCAUUGAUAACUGGAAAAAAAAAAGACUGAGAAGCUUCUCAACAAAAAAAGAAGACAAAUUUAUGAAUCUGAAAUUAAUUCCCUGUAAAUGCACAUACCAAUUUACAAUUCACCCCUAACAAUCUCAACAAACACCCUCUCCCUCUGUAAGAAAAUCUAAAGAAAAAAAAAAACAAAGAAUGGCAUAAACUCAUGAACAAUAUACUCACACAAAUUCAAAUAUGAAAUAAAAACUAAUAAUUGCUAAUAUGUCACAUAACUAGAACUGGUAUAACCACGUCUCGAUCUGCCACGGCAUCAAUGGAGCUUACUAGAACUAGCGGAAGAGCCCCGGUUGCCGUCCUCCGGCGAAGCUUUUUUCUUGAUGAACUCGAUGCAAUCGGCUACUGCCUCGCUGUGGUGAGGGUCAUCAUGCGGACAAUAAUACCGCUGCGCAUCUGGGCUGGAUCGGCCAGCGUGGCUUGUGGACUUGUUGGAGGAGACAGCAGACAGCAUGAUCAAACGGAAAACCGCCUCGCGAAACCGCUCGAGCAGAGUCAUCGGAGACAGGCGUUUGGUUUUGUUGCUGCACGAGUUGACGUUGCUUCUCAUCCUGGGAAUGCAUAGAUGGGUUUUCAUAAUUUUUGCUUUUAGAGUUUCUCAAGGUUUUGGUGUCGUUUUGAACUAAGACAAUAUGAGAGAGGGGUCAAGGUGUUGCUCUAUAUUUUGAUAUGAGAAUCUAAUUGCGUUGCAUGGAACGACAACUCAGAUUUAUAUCUAUACAAGUUUGCUUUUUGGUUGGGUUUAAUACUACGCUAAUCACUUGUUUGAAUCUGCCAUAUAAUGUUUUUCAUGAUGCGACCGGAUCAUCUUUACAAAGAUUUACUCAAAUCAAUAAGUGUUUUCUUUUAAGUCGGUAAAUUGAAAAGAAUUUAGUUAUCUAGUUUUGUAAUAAAAUAAAUAAAUAAACACGGUAUAUUCAAUAAAUAACAAAAAUAUUCACAAUCAUAAUUAAAUGUCUUACGAUUUUUAAUUUCGAGAAAAUUUUAUGGGAAUGAUGCUUGAAUGAAGACUAAGCUCAAAUGAGUGAUUAGCACUAUAUGUAUUAAAUUAAUAAGUCGUUAGUUUGGUUACAUAUUUUAUAUUAAAAUUGAAGUAGACUUCAUAGCCAUGCAUGCAUGAUGCAUGUUACUAGUAUAAAUUUUUUUGUCUUCAUCGCUGCUAGGCUUCACAUGGCUACAUGUGCAUGGUUGUAUAAUUUUCAAUCAAACUAUAAGUAAUGUAUGGUUCCUAUUGGAUUCCGCCGACUUACCGCCCUGGAAAAAUGAAAGUAAAUUCUAUUGUUUUUAUGUGUGCCCUAAUGUAUUUGUUCCACGAAUUUGUGGGAUGGGGGAUGAAUUUCAAAUACAGAAUUGGGCAUGUGAGAGAGAUGGGGCAAAUUAAUUAUGGUACGUGGGGGUCAAUCUCCCCACCAUGCUUCGAAUUGGACUUGCUGUCGGUCUGUUUGUUUGCUCAUAUAUUAAGGGAGUUGUUGUGUUCACUAUAUCCAUCAUUUAAUUAAUUAGGGUCCUCAAUCGGGUCGUCCCGGGCCAUUUCGGGUCUAUACACCCGUGUUUGGGUUAGUCGGAUUCUUGUCGGAUCGAGAUUUAGCUUAUUGGGCUCAAGUAAGCUCAUUUUGAUCAUCGGUUCAAAAGAUGAUUUCUAAUGUGAAUGAAUGUAGCGAUAUAACAAAACUAUUUGUAUCAGAUCGAUUUGCAAUUUACGUUAUUUGUUAUGUCCCUUAACCAUUUGAGCUACAAGUCCCUUACAUAAUGAGAAAUGAGGAAUCGAACCUAGAACCUCAAGGAAAGGAAAAAUCCAACUUAAAACCUCAAGUACAUGAAUAAAUAUUCUUAACCAUUUGAACUAUAAUAUCCUUUCAUAACUUUACUACUUAUGCAAAUAAAGAUGUAAUGAAUAAAUACGAUACAUAUGUCAAUUAUUCUGGUGAUGGUUACAUUUUUCAUAGAGGUGAUGGGUAAUCAUCCAACAAAAGAGAUGGGGUUUGUGGGUUUGUAUGAACUUCAAUUCGGCCUGUACUCAUUGUAAACAGCAUACAAUGGCAAUGCUUCUGUGGCCCAUAUAACAACAUGUUUACAGAAUUCAUGUUGGGCGUAGGCCGAAGCCCGCCUUACAAAUUUACAAAAAUUUGAAGCAAUUUCCUUAUUUAUUAGAAAAAUGAGAGAGCCCAAAUAAAAGAAACAAGUGAUGCCUUAGCUCUGAUUAUUUCAAUAAAAUUGACUGUUAAUGGAAACCCUUUUGCAGGCUUCAUUUAUCAACAACAAACAUUCUUGAAAUGAAUAUAUUUACUUAAUAAUCUCUGCACAAUCUGCUCACGAGAGCCUCAGGCUCUUGGAGACCCCCCACCACCUUCUUGAAUUGCCUUGUUUUUGGCAAAAAACCACCCAACCAGAGGCACCAAUGGCUUCUUCUUGAUUUUCUUGACAGAAGGGUUUCCAACUCUCUCCCCCAAGUCUUCUUUGCUAACAAUGACUUGGGCCAGUGUAGGAGGACUUGCAAAUUUCACAUAUCUUUUCUUCUGCACCAAUUCCUCUGCGUCUUGGCUCAACAUGGUCUUGGUUUCAAACUUCGCGGCGCCAUCCUCAAUGAAUUUAAGGUCGUCUUCUUCAAUCUCAGGAUCAACUGGGUCCUUCUGAUCAAACUCUCUUGCCUUCAAGUACUUGUGCAGCUCUUUCUUUGCACGGUCAAGAUCAUCCCUUAGUGACUUUAUGCAGUAUGCCAUUAUCUUGUUUUCUUCUCUAACUUUCUGAAGAUUUCGCUUUGUUUCUUCAAGCUCAGCUUCCAAGACCCCAAUUGUUGAUUGAGCAGAAGCAGCAUGCCCUGCAGCUCCAAUCUAACAUAGAAAUUGAACAUUAACACUAGAAAAAAAAGAAGUAAAAAUGGUGUUGUGGUAGGAGCUAUAGCUAACCUCUUUGAGCUUGUUGGCAUAUAUUUCUCCAACCAAAACUCUUUCCCCAAACAACAAGACUGCUUCUUUGACUGAUUUGAAAGGUGCUCUGGUGUCAAUCUCUGCUCGGCCCAUGACCACCAAUUUGCCUUCCUCUGUGUUCAUCAUGCUCAAUCAACGCAAGGAAAGGGAAGAAGAUAUUAAUGGUGGAAUUAAUGAGGAAAGGUCCUUUUAAUACAAGUUUCAAAAUGGGGAGCUGCAAGAGAGGAGGUCGUUGGAAAUGGAUGGUGUGGUUCUAGCUUUGCUUAGAGGAAGUUAAGAAGAAAAAAAUAAUGGGGGGGGGGGGGGGGGGUUUUGUUUUGGUUUCCUUGGCGUCCACUUCACUGAAUUUUGUUAAUUGAAGUUGACAAGAGUGGUUGGACUAUCUUGAUCACUUUGUUACUUCUUGGCUUCUUGUUAGAGUUUGGGCUGCUUCCUUCCGUUACCAAUGUGGGUUAAACAAAUCAAUAAGCAUUAACAGCCAAGUAAUUGAUAGAUCACAAAUAUAUACCGCCAAUUAUUAGGUGUGAUGUGAAGUCUCAUGGUACUGCUUUGUCACUUCUUAUGGGUUAAGAGAUAUGGAUUAUGUUUGAAGACAUAAAUGAAGCAAUUGUUAUGAGUUAUCUGAUAAAUGUGGUUAUCCCUAAACUUACAUGUAUUCCAUGUAUGUAGAAGAAUGACUCUUGUGAGCUAUUCAAAAGGUCACUGCUGUUAAAAUAAUUGGAAUAUUUUAUUUUUAUAAAACACUUUAAACUACUUAACUUUAAAGUGAAGUAGGUUUUUUGUUUGAAAAAGCAAUCCCAAACAGAGCCUUAGUUUUUCAAUAUGUCCAUAAAAUUGCAAUGUGAUAUUAUCAAUUCAGUUAUGCUAUAUACAAAUAUAUAUGUAUUAAUAUUAUAUCUUCAAGUAUAAACAUGUCUCCUUCACAUGUUUAUAAAUUGAGUGAAUUAAUAACACUAAACUAAAUAUCUUUACUAUCAAUUUGGAAAUUUAAAAAUAUGGGAAGUAAUAAAUUGAUUUGAAAAGUCAUUCUCAUUAAACUGUUUACCAAUCAUAUAGAAUCAUAAUAGGAAUGAAGUUGAUUCCAAUUAUUACUAUUUACUAAUUCUCAUGAACCGAAACUCUGACUUUUAAAAUGGGACUUACAUUUGUUUGAUUCCCUAUGUGUUAGUAACGUGAAAAAAAUAACUGAUUGAAAUAAUUUCAUUUAUUCUCAUACCCAUUCCUAAUAAGUGACAGUGUUACAUUCAAACACAAAAACUUCUAUGUACACACGGCACUUCCUAUUUUUUCUACCCUUUUUCUCUCUCCAGCCACAGUGGAGAUUAGGCCGUGGUUCGUAAAAUAGUGAGGGUGUUAUUUUGAACACACGAGUCUGGCUGGAUACCACCACCAACAUCAAACACACAAGCCCGACCACCACCACCACGAGUUCCCGACCACCACACCAUAAGUCCACGAUCGUCUGCCCCUAGUCUAGUUGAUGGUUCGAUUGGGUCUGCCCCUAGUCUAGUUGAGUGAACAACCAUCCUCAUCUCAGGGCGCUCUUGGCCUCCGCACCCCAACUUUUAAGAGAGCCAUCCACUUUUGGUAUGUGGUGGAUGCAAACAAAACAAAACAAAAUUCCAAAUGAAAUCUUAAAUAGUGUGGCAUAAAGAGAGUGAAAAUGAGGGAAGGAAGAAGAAAAGAGAAAGGAAAGAAUAUGAAGAAAGAAAGAAAAAAGAAAUAGGGAAGGCAGAAGAAAAGAGGAAGAAAGGAAGAAGAAAAGACAAAGUAGAGAAGAGGUAGAAAGAUAAAAAAGGACACAAGUUUUAGCCUUUAAAAA
Molecule: long non-coding RNA, 58150 nt
Filed under: Prunus persica (peach)
Lineage: Eukaryota; Viridiplantae; Streptophyta; Magnoliopsida; Rosales; Rosaceae
Description: long non-coding RNA (PPER_LNC007449)
Source: RNAcentral